This 46104-nucleotide long non-coding RNA is filed under the name Ananas comosus (pineapple). Its description in RNAcentral is "long non-coding RNA (ACOM_LNC022636)". Lineage: Eukaryota; Viridiplantae; Streptophyta; Magnoliopsida; Poales; Bromeliaceae. The record is from RNAcentral.
ACAAAUAAAAAUAAAGAGGGAAAAACUUCAAAUAUUUAACGUUUUCUCAUUUUAAUACCCAAUGGUUAAAACUGUAUCACUUUAGUACCUUGCGAUUUCGUUUUUCUUUUUUCGUAAGCACUUCUGUUAACUCUUUGUUAAAAUAUAGAGGAAAAUACUUCAUAUACCCCUCGUGUGGCUUAUCUUUCGAAUUUUUACUUUAGUAUCCUAUAAUUUUAAUUUUCCCAUUGUUUUCAUAAAAAAAAUCGGGUAAACUUCAAAUACCACCCCUGUGGUUUCGCACUUUCUCACUUCAGCACCAUGUGGUUUAAAGCGUAUCAAGUUAGUGUUCUGUGGUUUCAUUUUUAUCUUUUCGUCAGCUUUUCUGUUAAUAUUUCGUUAAAUUAUAUACAAAAAACUUCAGAUACCCCACCUAGGUUUAUUGAAUAUUCACUUUAGUACCCUUUAGUUUUAACUUUGUCACUGAUCUAACGAAAAAAUUAGUGGAAUCGAUAAUAAAAAGAUAAAAAUGAAACCAUAGGGUAAAAAGAUAAAAAUGAAACCAUAGGGCACUAAAUUAAUACACUUUAAAGCACAUGGUACUAAAGUGAGAAAGUGUGAAACCAUAGGAGUGGUAUUUAAAAUUUUUCCUAAAAAAAAUAACGAAAACAAGGUAACGGAAAGAGAAACACGAAACUGCAUAUUACUAAACUGAUAACGAAAAAGGGGUAACGGAAAGAGAAACACGAAACCACAUAUUACUAAACUGAUACGCUUUAAGCUUUAAGGUACUGGAGUGAAAAAGCGAUGAAUUACAGAAACGGUAUUUGAAGUUUCCUUUAUAAGAGAUAACCAAAUAAAUCUCUAUCAUGUCCCUCUCAUUUUGGGGUGCCUCCUCUUUUGAAACUCCAAUUUUGUCCAAAUUCGACGGCGACCACCAUUUGAAAACAGUUCCUUCGAUUUUUUGCGAACUAAAACGUUUCUGCGACGGCGAAGCAAAAGAUAACAAAACAUAACAAAACAUUUCUGCAUGUGUUUAAAGACACCAUCAUCAGAGAAGGAAACAUGAACAAACAUCCUUAUCAAACAAUACCAAACACUUUGAUUAAAAUGCUUGAUCACAUCAUUGAUACAUGAAAUGGAUGAGAGAGAGAAAUAGAUAGAGAGAGAGAGAGAUCACAAAUGCUACUAAAAAGUCCAAAAGCUUGUUGUAGAAAAGCAAUCCAAGUAUUUUAUUUUAUUUUUUUUAUUUUUAAAUCCAAUGGUGUGGUGACAACUUAUCACAAGUAGUUCAUUAGUUGGCCACUCAUGACUCUGCUGAAUAUUUGCUGCUCUACUGACCUACAUUAGAUUUGAAAAUGUGGAUAGAUAGAAAAAAAAUGAUAUGAAAAUCUUUUGCUUUCUCCAGGUGACACUCCUAUAGUAAUUAACAUGUGACAAUUAGCAUAAAUUUUAUUUAUUUUUAUAUUAUAUCAAUAUUUUUCAUUAUUAGUUUGUCAUUAGUCUUGUAUAAGUUGUGUGAUACAGCUAAAUAACUUGCUGAGAUGUUGAUUCACUUCAUCAAAAAAAAAAAAAAAAAAAAUUCUACUAUUUACUAAUUAAUUUUUUUCCGUCAUAUUUAGGAAUGAAAUGGUUACGUAUUAGUAAUUUUUGGAUUGUACCGUAUAAUACAUGCACGGAACGAUAACAAAAUAAUAACAAUACUGUAAGAUUGAGUGUUACGAAUUUAUAUUUCGAUAGCCGGUUCUUAUAGAAAGAUAUUUUUUGGCAUUUUAGCCUUUAUUUUAAGAUCUCGUCCAUCGGAUUUUUACAUGUAUAUAAAUUGAGUCGUAUCGUGCUAAUAUUUUGUCGGCAAUUAAAUCUCUAAAUCUAAUUAUGUAAUUAUGCAAGGAAUAAUUAAGAGAUAAGAGAAGUGCUUUUGUUAAAGCUUUGUUGGGUUAAUUGCAUACACGUUCCUGCAAACAUGGUGAAUUACAGAUAUAUCCCUGCAAAACUCACUUUUCAUAAGUUGUUCCUGUAAAAGUCCUAAUAUAUGCAAAUAUGUCCCUGCCGUUAGGGUCUGUUAAAAAAAUUUCGUUAACUACAGUUAAAAACUUAAUCAUGUUUAAUUAAUAACGUGAAUUGACGGUUUUACCCUUCUACCUCUUCCUCUUCCCGCUUCUUUGUUCCCGGCGGGGGAGGAGAUGCGGCGGCUGCGGCGGCGGUGAACCCUCUCCCUCUUCCUCUUCCCCCUUCUUCUUCCUCUCCCUCUUCCUCUUCCCUCUUCUUCGUCGCCGGCGAGGGAGGAGAUGCAGCGGCGGCGGCGAACCCUCUCCCUCUUCCCUCUUCCUCUCUUUCUUCCUUUUCCCUCUUCUUCUUCCUCUCCUUCUUUCUCUUCCCUCUUCUUCGUCGCCGGCGAACCCGACCCUGACCUCGCCGAAGCGCCACCGCUGCCGUCCGCUCUAGCGGCCCGAAGAGAGAGAGAAAGAGCAAGAGGAAAUAUUUUUGGAGGGACAUAUUUAUGAGAGCAAAAAUAUCAUUUCACGAAUCCACUGUUAAAAAAUAAACAGUUCACUAACGGAUUCUAAUCAGAUGGACAUAUCUACAUAUAUUAGGAUUUUUGCAGGAACAACUUAUGAAAAUUAAGUUUUGUAGAGAUAUAUCUAUAAUUUACCAUAUUUGCAGGGACAUGUAUAUAAUUAACCCUUUGUUAAACAUGAUAAAACUCUUAUGCUUUCCACAACAACAGCAAAAAAAUAAUAAUAAUAACAACUACUGAAAAAAAGGAAAGGAAAACAAUCAAACGUGUAGCUCAAAACCUCAAUUUGCGGCAGAUAUUCCCAAAAUUAAUUUCAGAAACAAAAAAGCAAGAAAGAAAAACCUGAACAAAACAAUUUCAGAAACAAAUCAGAAACAGAGAAACUGAAACAAGAUCUGUUAACUCAAAAUUGAGGCUCAUCACAUCCAAGCAACAACAUAAAUUAUAUAUAAAAAUCACAAAGACAAUGUAUGCUGAAGCAGGAAAAGUUUUUUGUUUUUUUUUCUCUUUUUCUUUUUCUUUUCAAUAUCUCUGCUAAUUUCCUCUCUGAACAUUCUCUCUUCCUGUGCUAUUUACAGUAAUCAAAAUGCUGUUUCUUUUUUUUUCUUUCUUUUGUUUCCCCCCUCUUCUUUGCUGCUACUGAUACAUAGUGAACCAAAAAUCGAAAUCGAAAUCGAAAUCGAAUUACGCGGCGCUGUCGCCGGAUUCGUCGAUGACGGCGCGCGCGAUGGAGAAGCCGUCGAGGAAGUCGCUGUCGGAGUCGAUCUGCAGCUCCUUGAACAUGGCCAUGACCUGGAUCAUCGUGGGGCGCCGCAGCGGGCGGUCGUCGAGGCACUGGCACGCGAUUUUCAGGUACUGGCAGAGCUCGGCCCCGCCCGACGGCUUCAAUUCGGGAUCGAAGAUCUCCGCGCUGCGGUUCUCCCUGACCAUCUGCUUGGCCCAGCCGACCAGAUUGUUGUCCCCGAACUCCUGCGGGUCGAUCGGCUUCCGCCCCGACAGCAGCUCCAGCAGCACGACCCCGUAGCUGUACACGUCGCCCUUGGUCGUGCAGCGGAAGCUCUGGUAGUACUCCGGGGGCACGUAUCCGGGCGUCCCCGCGAGCGUGCUCACGCUGAGGUGCGUGUCGAGCGCGUUCACGAGCCGCGCCAUCCCGAAGUCCGACACCCGCGCCUCCAGGUUCUCGUCGAGCAGCACGUUGCUCGACUUCAUGUCCCGGUGUAUGAUGUGCGGGAUGCAGCUGUGGUGCAGGAACGCGAGCCCGCGCGCCGCCCCGACCGCAAUCUUCUUCCGCGCCGCCCAGUCCAGCUGCUGCUUUUGCUUUUGCUGCUGCUGCUGCUGCUGAAAACUUGUUUUCUCGCUCGCGGAGUCGCGGUGCAGGAGCAGGUCGAGGCUGCCGAACUGCAUGAACUCGUAGACGAGCAGGCGCUCGUCGCCGACCUUGCAGUAGCCGAGCAGCGGCACGAGGUUGCGGUGCUUGACCUUGCCGAUGGUCUCCAUCUCGGCGGUGAAUUCGCGGUCGCCCUGCCCGGUCACGUGGAUCAGCUUCUUGACCGCGACGACGGCGCCGUCGGCGAGCCGCGCCUUGUGCACCUCCCCGAACCCGCCGGAGCCGAUCAGGCUCUCGGCGCCGAACCCGUUCGUCGCCUCUAGCAGGUCGGCGAACGUCAGCUUCCGCAGCGGCUUCUCGAACGUCGCCACGUUGAUGCUCAGCGGCUCCAGCGCCCCCGACAGCUUCCACGACGCCGUCCCCGACGACGACAGCGCCGCCGCCGGGAGGCUCUCCACGUACCCGGCGCCGCCCUUCUUCUGAUCACGCCUUCUCAGCAGCUUAUACAGCGCCGCGACGAGCGCAAGGACGAUGAGGAGGGAGAGCGCGGCUCCCACCAGUAUGCUCCACCCGACGAAUUGCCGCCUCCGCCGCAGCUCAGGCUGGGACCACCCGGGACUACUAUUGCCCGCUGCGCCUCCUCUGUGGGGCCCGCGCCCGCACGGGGGGAGCGGGACCCCGCAGAGGCCCGAAUUGUUCGCGUAGCGCGACGCCGGGAAAGUGGUGAGCUGACCGGUGGUCGGGAUCGGCCCCGUGAGGCCGUUGUUGGACACGUCGAAGUCCGCGAGGAACGUGAGCGCGCCGAGCCCCCCGGGGAUGGCGCCGGUGAGGCGGUUGUGCGAGAGGUCGAGCGCGCCGAUCGACCGCAGCCCCGCGAAGCUCUCCGGGAUCGCCCCGGCCAGCUCGUUGUGGCCCAAAUUGAGCACCUGCAGGUACGCCAUCGAGCCGAGGCUCCCCGGGAUGCCGCCGGAGAGCGCGUUGUACGACAAGUCCAGGUAGAUCAUGCUGCCGUUGCCGGCGAAGGUGUACACCGUCGUGCCGGUGUAAAUCCUCGUCGACGGGCAAUUGUGCACCGGCGGAAACUCCGCGAGGCGCUCCGACCGGAUGUCGGAGAAUUCGAAGAGCGCGCCGGCGCCCGGGCAGAUGUUCCCGGCCUCGUUGCGCAGGAAGGCGAAUUGCUUCCCGGAGGCGAUCCCGGGGGUUAUGAGCCCGGCCUGCGACGCCAGCGACGCCGGUAUCGGCCCCGACAGCCGGUUGCUGUUCAGAUCGAGCCAAAUGAGGUUCCGGCAAUCGCCGAGCUCCGCGGGGACGCGUCCCGACAGCGAAUUUUCGUUCAAUUGGAGGAUCGCGAGGCUCUGCAGCGAUCCCAGCGCCGCGGGGACGCUCCCCGUGAGCCGGUUUCCGGCCAAUGACACCCACACCAGCUUCGAGCACCGCGCCAGCGCCCCCGGGACGCUCCCGCGGAUCGAAUUGUAGCUGACGACGAGCGUCUCGAGGACGCUGCCGUCGCCGACUGCGCAGAGGCUGCUCGGGAGCUCGCCGGAGAGGUCGUUGGCCCACGCGACCAACUCGACGAGCUUGGGGAGCGCGGCGAGCGCGGCGGGGAUGGGGCCCGAGAGGUUGUUGAAGCUCAGGUCGAUCGACCGGAGCUCGGCGCAGCGGCCCAGCUCCGGCGGGACCGCGCCGGAGAGGGAGUUGCCGGGGAGGAGGAGGCGCCGGAGCGCGGGCAGGUCCGCGCACAGGGUCGCCGGGAUCUCGCCGGAGAGGUCGUUGGAGCCGAGGUCGAGCACCUCGAGCGCGGAGCAGUUCGCGAGCGCGGCCAACGGGUUCGGCCCGGAGAUGUUGUUGAAGGGGAGCCGGAGCUCCCGGAGCGCCGGGAGCGUCGCCACGACGCGCGCGACGAAGUCGCCGGAGAGCUGGUUGCCGCCGAGGCUCAGGGCCCGGAUCCCGGGGCAGGACGCGAACCCCGCCGGGAUCUCGCCGGAGAGGUUGUUGUGCGAGAGGUCGAGCACCGCGAGGCCCAAGCUCGAGCACGACGAAGCACCGCCGGGGAGGGGGCCGGAGAGCUUGUUCGCGGAGAAGUUGAGGUAGCUCAAUCCCCCGCAGGCGGAGAGGGAGUAGCGCAAGAGCGCGGGAUCGGAGAACUGGUUGCGGGAGACGUCGAGCACCGAGAGGGAAGACCCGAAUUUGAAGUCGCCGGCGCCGGAGAUCGAGUUCCGGGACAGGUUGAGGAAGCUCAGAUUGCGGCAGUAGGACAAGAGCUCGCCCGGGAUGGUCCCGUUCAAGGUGUUCGACGAAAUGUCAAUGCGCUCCAAACUACACACAACUCCUCCACCACCACCACCCCCACCACUACUAGUGUUGUUGUUGUAGGAGAGAUUGCCGUAGAAGGAAUUGGAGUGGAGGUCGAGGGAGCGGAGGAGGGGGAGGGAGAGGAGGGGGUCGAUGCGGAGGGGGCCGACGAGGCCCAUGCGGCUGAGGUUGAGUGCCGUCACGCCAUCUGCGGAGCAGGAGACCCCGGUCCAAGAGCACGGGGACGAGACCUGGGACCAGCUCGAUAACAGGUUAUCGGGAUCGGAUUCGACGGAGUAGAGCUUGAACGAGAGCAACGCCGCGGCCUCGUCGUCGGUCUCGGCCGCGGCCGACGACGACGACGACGACGGAGAAUUCGAAAGGAUCACCAUCAUCAUCAUCAUCACCAUCAAGGGCACAAAAGCUGUGAUCUCCAUUAAUGGUAGCUCUAGCUCCAACUACUACUGCUACUACUGCUACUGCUACAAUUGGAUCAAAAACUGGGUUUUUUUGGGGGUGGGGGGGUAAAAUUGAUUGAAAUUUAUGGCUCUCACAUGUUGAACACCAUGGAGUUGAAUCAGGGGAUUCACAAAAAGGAGAAAAAGGAGAGAUUUUUUUAGCUUGAUCGAUCGCAAACUAGUUCACAAGAAGCUGCAGGGGAGGAGCAGGGGAUCGGGAAUUGGAGAUGAUCAGGGAUCGGUGAAAUCGAAAAUAGAUGGGGAAAAAAAAAAAUCGGAUUUUUAGGAGGAAAACGCAGGAAAAAAGUGAUUUUGAAUCCAAAAAAAGGAAAAAAAUCUCACCUUUGGAGCUUUUGGGCUCCAAUCUCAUAUGGGUUUUGUUGUUUGUGUUUGUGUUUGUGUGUGUGUGUGUGUGUUUGGAGUAGUGAUUUAAUGGGUUUUUAGAGAGAGAGAGAGAGAGAGAGAGAGAGAGAGAGAGAGAAUUUAGGAAGAAAUCGAGGAAGAGGAUUAAUUAUUUUAAUUCAUUUUUAAAUAUUUUGGAAACAUUUUUGAGAUUUUUUUUAAAAAAAUUUUAUGGGGUAAAAAAAAAAAAAAAGAGGAAAUGAUUUGUUUAAUUAAAGAGUGGAGGGAAUAGAGAUAGAGAGAGAGAAAGAAGAGAGGGAGAGAGAGAGAGAGAGGUGCUAUGCAACUAAUUUUUUAAGUUUUUAAUUUUUUUAAUUGUUUGCUUUUUUUUUUUUGUUUCUUUAUUCUUGUUUUAUAUAUAUUUUUUAAUGUUUUUUUUUUAUAUAUUUUUCUCAAUUUCCGAGUCUGGUCAAACUUGGGAUUUGCUUCCCCCAAGUCUCUCUCCCCUCCCCCUUUUUCCUGGCCCUCUACCCUUUUCCCAAAAAGAAAUAAAAAAUAAAAAAUAAAAUAAACCCAAAAUUUUGAAAUCUCUUCUCCCAAUUUAUACUUUUUCACCCCUACAUAAUAACUUGUAAAUAUAUUUAUUUUUCACAUUAUUAAUUGGCAUGGUUUUGAUAGAGUUUUGAGAUUAAAAAAAAAAAAGAAAUUGAAGUUACUGUUUUCUAGGAGGUUCAAUUUUAAAAAUUCAAUAAUUUUUUUAGAUUGUUUUUUAUAUGAGAUUAACACUGGAGAUGCUAAGUUCAAAUUUUGCCAGUCUUAUUAGUCUAUUAUUAUGCAUAUUAAAAGAUUUCUGAGUAUAAAAAUGAGAAUUUAUCUAAGAUAAAAAAUAUAAAAAAAAAUGUUACCAUAGUUAAAUUUAUUGCACAUAGAUGAAUUUAUUGAAUUUUGUUUUUGUUUAGUCUUUGGUAAGUUUUAAAGAAUAUUAGUUGUUUCGUUUAGUUUCACGUGGUAUUAGGGUCCGAGAUUAUAUUGAGUUCGAAUUUCACCAAAUUUUUAGUCUCAUUUAUGUUUCUCGUCUAUUAAAAUAUCUCAAGCUCUGAUACAAAAACGUGUGUUGAGAUGAAAGCAUAAACAGUUGUUAGCAUAGUCAAAUUUAUUAUUAACAUAUAAAUUUAUUAAAUUUGAUCACUAUAUACUUAUUGAAUUUGAUCAGAUUCAGUAAAUUUGCUGCGUCUUUAAUAUCACCUUCUAAUUAGAAGGUUAUUAUUAUAUAUAUAUAUAUAAUAUUCCCCCUCUUUAUUUCUUCUAAUUUAGAGUUGUAGAAGUUUCACUAAUUUUAGUCAAAUAGCAUAAAUUUUUAAUUUAGUAACCGCAUGAAUAGAGAGGAGGGUUUAAGUGUUGAGUAUUUUGAUUUCAUUGUGGUUAUCAUUAUCCAAUAAUUGAUCAAUAAAUAUAUUAAUUACUCAUAUUUUGAUCAUAUAUUGUAGUAAAUUUUUGCCUUGUUCAAUUACUUUUCCAUUUUCUAAGCUAAUUUGGCUCUUUUUUUUUUAUCAUAUAUAAUAAAUAUUUUUUCCCCACCAAAGAGUAAGUUGUGUAGGAGUAAGUAUUUUCAAAAUGGAAAAUGUGAAAUAAUAAAGCAAUGAACCAUUUUAACAAAGAAAAUUAGAAAUGGGGUAUUAAAUAAAACAUUGCAAUACAUGUCACAACCACCAAAUUAAGAAAACAAAGGGCUAAUUGGUGGUUGGUACCCGAGAUUUAAGUUCGAAUCCUAAUUGAUUCACAUUUUCAGCUAAAUUUAUUUCUAAAUGAAAUAAACGAAGCGGGUAACGUGCUACCUAUCUCUCAAAAAAUAGAAAACAAUUUAUGUGAUCCUCUAUACAUCAUAUUGUAAUUGCUCUCCACAUUUUUCUCCUUGAUUUGUGAUGUAUUUAUUGCACUGUUCUUAAUCAUUCACCAACAUCAUUCCACAAUAAAUUUAACAAAAAAACAAAAAAGAAAUCACUUUUUUCUUUAUUUUUUCAAAGUGAGAACACGAUAUAAGCAAUUCGCUAACGGUUGGAUCUAAAUAUUUUGGACACGUCCGAUCUCAACCUAAAACAUCAAUUCAGGUUUCAGAUAAUACGAAGUCAUCAAGUUGAGUUUGAAUGAUUUACAACUACAUGCAAUUCGAUUCAAAUCGAAACUUGAUAUACUAGGUCAGGUUAUAUUACAGAUAGCGCGAACUCACUCAAAAUCAAGUUCGAAUCACGGCCAUAUACAAUUCGAUUCAAAUCGAGAUUCGCACGUUAGCGAGGUCUACGAAAAACCAACCCUAGCUAUGAAAUAACUCAAAACCUAAGAUGUAAAUUGAAGAGCCCCAUAGAGCCUCAAAAAGCACUUGGCUUAAUAUGCAACCUCAAACUCAAAAAGAAUCCAAAGCCCCAGCCACUAUUCUUUAUCAUUAACACACUUUUAGAACCUUCUUAAAAGAAAAGGAAUAAUAGAAAGAGCCCUGAAUUUUUAUUUAUUUUUUUUUUUUUGAUAGGUCACUAAUUAGGGCAACAAGUUAUAUACAUGCAUGGUGCACAAGAAGUCAAGGGGCAUUAAAAUGUUUAUAAAUAAACCAACCACAUUGUUAUUAAAUGCUAGCUUAGGUGUACUAAAGUGCUUAAGAUUUUCUACCUCUACAUGGUGAUCCUACCAUAUCUUUUAUAAGUCAAGGGGGGGAGAUAUUAAAAGAUUCACAUGCUUAGGACAAUAUCACACAAUUUUAGGGUUAAUAUUUGGGUUAAAUUACAAAAACCUUCUCCUCACGCUUUGCUUUACUUUCUGUCUCAGUUUUUCUCGUACAUAAAAUUUUACUUCAAUUUGAACCUGUAUUUUAUUACUAUGUCAAAUUUGCAUUUAAUUUCAAAUGCUUCGAUCGACGAUGUCACAAAUUUAGGGUUUAAGUGUUGGGUUAAAUAAACAAAUAUUUUCCUUACGUUUUAUUUUUUGUCUCAAUACAUAAAAUUUUGUUUCAAUUUGAACGUGUAUUUUAUUACUGUGUCAAAUUUGCAUUUAAAUUAGAGCAAAAUUUUAUGCAAGGCAAUAAUUAAGACAUAAGAUAAAUCUUAAGAGGGAUUUUGUUAUUUAGUGUUUUUUUUUUUUUUCUUUUUGGGUGGGUGAGUAGUACAUAGCUAGGGGUGGGGUUGGUUUUUAUGGGGUGUUUAGUGCAUGGUUUUCAAUUAGGGUUUUUUAUAGGGCAAAAAUUUAUGUACCAUAAAUGUGUACUAGAGAGGAUAAUGGUAGGUAAUAAGGGUGAGAUACCCUCUCCAAAGAUGUACUUUUACUUUAUAAUUAAUGGCAUGUGGAAAAUAUUACAUAACACAUUAUUACCAAAUAUCUAACUUAGAGGGGAAUCUUAAAUCAAAUUGCUAUCAAAAAUUGAUGGAAAUAUUUUUUCCCAAAAAAAGGGAAAAAAAUGAGAAAGAAAAGUGAAACUUAUUCUAUAAAGAUUCCUCUACUUAUUAAUAACUUAAACUUAAAUUUUUUAUUCGAUUCGAGCUGUUCGCUCUGGUUUCAUCUAUUUUUUAUAUAAUCAUUACGAGGUAUUUUAUUAAUUUCAUAAUAAAAAGUUUUAGAAACUAGCUAGUUUUCUAGUUGAAAAAGUUUUCUAUCUGUUCAGUUCUAAAAAAAAAAAAAUUUGCUUUUUCGAAUUUUUAUUCAAAAAAUAUUUUCCAUGAUAUUUUUUUUCGGAAAAAUAUAUAAGAUUUGUUAAUAUCCUCUGUAUAUAAAUAGCCCUUAAAAUUAAAAUGGUGGUUGCUACUCAAUAAUUUAAACAAAAUAUAAAAUUACUUAUGAGAAUAUAUAUAUAUUAAAAAAAGAGAUAUUUUUAAUUUUUAAUUUUUAAUAAUAAAUAAUUUAUUUAAAUAUUCGAAAGUCCCUAUCAAAUAAACCGCUAAUUACGGUGGAGCGUGGACUCCUCAAAUUGGUUUUGUCCCCAUCGAGAGUGAUUAUGGGGAUUGACCCCACCCAAACCAACCCCAGUGUGUGGGCCCCACACCACUUCUCACCAAGCGCACGUGUGGCCCCUGUGUAAAAUUACGAAAAUGCCCUUCCAACGUUGUAAGCAUGAGGUGAGAUCACCUCCCCAUUUAUUUUUGGGUUAAUUGCAUAGAGGCCCUCGCAAAUAUGAUGAAUUACAGAUAUUUUCCUACAAAGUUCAAUUUUUAAAUGUUAUCCCUGCAAAAGUCGUAAUAUUUUCAGAUACGUUUCUGCCGUUAGGAUCCGUUAGAGAAAUUUAAUUAACCACAAUUAAAAUAUUUAACUAUGGUUAAUUAAUAAGGUGAAUUGAUAAUUUUAUUCAUCGUUCUCUUCCUUUUCCUCCUUUUCCUCCUCCUUUUCUCCUCUUUCUUCUUCUUUGUCUUUGUCGUCGAUGAUCCGAUCGUCGUGCCCGCGUGGGUCGUCGUCACGAGCACUUCCGACGGCAUCAGCCACACCUACGCCUUCCGCCUUGCCGUUGCGAGCCUCAGCCUCGUCCUCGUCGGCCGCAACUCCGACAAGCUCCGUGACGUCGCCGCCACCGUUCGCUCCCACAGCCCGAAAAGGAAGAGUAAGAGGAAGAGGCCAAAAAUUAAGAGGGCAUUUCUACAAAUAUAUACCAGUUGAAGCUUUUGGAGGGACAUAUUUGUGAAGGCAAAAAUAUCAUUUCACGAACCGACUAUUAAAAAAUAAACAGUUUUCUAACGAAUCCUAACCAGAGGAACAUAUCUGAAAACAUUAAGACUUUUGCAGGAAUAACAUCUGAAAGUUGAACUUUACAGGAAUAUAUCUGUAAUUCACCAUAUUUGCGAGGACUUGUAUAUAAUUAACCCUUUAUUUUUUACUUAAAUUACAGAAAAAUCCCUUAUAAAUUAUCUGCUUUUUUAUUCCCUUCUUAACUUUCGGAAAUCUAUAUUUUACCUCCUUAAUAUUUCAAGUUGUUGCAUUUAGCCUCCCUCUGUCACAAUUCCAUCACUAUUCCGUUCAUUUUUUAUAAUUAAUGUCGAAAACAUCAUUCAAAAUGACAUAAAUAUAUUAAAAAAUUAUUUUUUUACUUAUAAAAGAGGUAAAGAUAAUUUGGUCAUUUUGUGCUCUCCAUUAGCGCUGUACACUCUUGAAAAUAUUUUUAAAAUUUUAAGGGCGUAAAACAUAUGCUUUUGAAAGUCAGAGAGGAAAAGCGAAAAGAGGUGUAUUUACAAGAAUUUAAUCAUUAUUUUGUGUUAAUUUCAUACAGUUUCCUGUAAACAUAUCGAAUAGCAAAUAUAAUUCCAUAAAGUUUAACUUUUUAUAUUUAUUGUUACAAAAGUCCAGUGAUAUUUAUAUUUGUCUCUCUGAUUUGUUAUCGUUAAAACAUAAUUUAUUUUUAACAGUAUAUAAAUGAAAUGACAUUUUUAUCAUCAUAAAUGUAUUCCUUCAAAAGCCCCGACUAUUAGAAUCAUAUAAAAAAUGUCCUCUCAAAAGUUUCUAACGAUUAUCUUUUUUCUUUCUGUUAGCACAAACAAUUAAAAAGGGUAAAAAUGUCAAUAUACCUCAUUCACUAAUCAGAGUUAAGUAAUUUAUCUAUAGUCAACUAUAUUUUUUUAAUGGAUCAUAACAAUAAGAAUUAUUUGAAAAUAUUACUACUUUUUCAGAAUAAAUAUGAAAAGAUGAACUUUGUAGAGAUAUAUCUACUAUUCGAUAUAUUUACAGAGAGCUGUAUGCAAUAAUCCUGUUUUUUCUUUUUUGGAAUUAGAUCUUUACUUUUUUGGGUCGUAAAAUAUUAAAAUAAAAAUAUCUAAAAUUGCCUAAAUUUUGCCAUAUAAAUUAUGAAAGUAGUUUAUUGCAUUGCAUGCAUCUCAGAUAAAAUGUCUGUUAAAAAAAUUUAGUAUUUACCAAAACUAUCAGAAAUGAUGGUUAUAUAUAUAUAUAUAUAUAUAUAUAUAUAUAUAUGAAUGUACGGGCCAAUAUUUAGCUCCAUGCGAAUAAUAUAGAUUACAUGAUGUGGAAUAUAUGCAAAAUCCAACUUGCCACUAAAGUGGAAACUGCUCGAGUGAAUCAAAAUCGAUAUUUUUGUUUUUUUUUUAUCAUUCCCAAAAGAACAAAUUGGUCAACAAGAUUAUGAUUCUUAAUUUCUUUUCUUUGCAUAANUUUUCUUCCCACAAGCCCCUUUGCUUUGGAAAUAUCACUUGGAAUCAUAUUCUUAUGUGAAUUUUAAAUAUAUAGCAACUUAAAAAAUAAAUAUUAUGGUCUAAUGUCAUUAUCGAGAAAAUUUGACCUACAAUUUAGUUAUUAAUUUAUGAACUUGUUGCUUCAUUUAGUAAGCUAAGAAGUCAAAUUUGUAAUGCCAUUUCAAAAUUAAGAAAAAGUUAUUAUAAAAAUGGAAGUUUAUUGACUCCUUUUUGUGUUUGUGCUUAUUCAAUGAAUCAUUAAACAAAUAUUAUAUGCCCAUCAUAUACACUCCUUUAAGUCCUAAAAAAAUAAAAUAACCUGUAUUGAUGGUAACAAUAUUCUUUUCAAACUAAGGAAAAGAUAAAAUAUUUUUAGACAAUUUUUUUUUUGUGAUUUUAAACAUAUUAUUAUAUAUUAAACUUGAUAUUUUCGCGAGUUUAUGUACAACAAAGCUCAAUUCUCUUAAUUUCUUUUAUUCUAAAGUCUUCGUAAUAGCUUCUCGCUGCAAUCCAAUUAGAAGCGCCAAAUUGAAGUUUCAGCGCUCUACAGAUUUACGACCUCAUUUCAGUUCCUAGCUAUGGCAGAAGUAAAAAACUUUUUCUUCUGAUACCAAAUUAAAUAAUAUUUAGUAGUUAUUGUUCUUCAAAAAUUUAAACUAUCAGAAAAUAAUAUUUUUACCCGACNACAUUUUUUUUUUUGGUUUAUCUAAAAUAUUCAUAUUAGUAUAUAAGAGGCUGAAAAAAAUUACAAGAAGUAAGUAAUUUUUUUUUAUUUUUUUUAUAAUUAAUUUGUCAUCUUCUAAAUUGAAGUCAAUAACUAUAUUUUGAGGACGAAUAUAACAAACUAAACAAUAAAAAUAGACAUAAGCAACUGUUUAUAGUAAUAAAAAGAGUAAAAAUAAUUGCAUAUGACUUCCUGCAAUGAUAUCAAAUAAUAAAUAUAUCCCUACAAAACUUAAGUUAUCAGAUUUGUUUCUCCAAAAGUGCUCCCGGCUGUGUGUAAAUAUAUUCUUCUGUUAUCAAAAUUUAGAUAACCAUGAGUUAAAAAAGCUAAUUACGGUUAGCUAUAUAAGGGGUAAAAUUAUCUUUUGCCCUUUUAUAUAUAUAAUUUGUAUUUCAAUAUUGAGUUUCCUCAUCUUUCUCAUCCUCUUCUCUUUAUUCACGGUGAUGACGAGACCUACGGCGGUGGCGAAAUCGAAGGCAAGGGCUGCGGUUGUGGCAAAAAUGAGAAACGUGGCACAUACUGCGGCGAAGGUGAGGAGAGAAAAAGAAAAUGAGUUUUUUUUUACAGAAACAAAUUUAUAAGGAUAAAAUAGUCAUUUUAUAUACAUAUCGUUUAAAAAAUUAACGGUGAAUCAAACAACACUAUUCACUCGUGGGAUUAGGGUAGAUCGGGGGGGUUACAGCACUGCACGGGUUGAUACGCAUAGCACCUAGUAUCUAUCAUAAAUGACUACUAGGGUAUCUAAUCCCAUUUGCUCCCCUAGCUUUCGUCUCUCAGUGUUAGUAUCGGCCCAGCAGAGUGUUUUCGUCGUUGGUGUUCUUAAUUUCCGAAUGAACCAGAAUUUUCGGAGGGACAUAUUUACAAACCAGAGAAUUUUUAAAAGGGUAAAUCUGACAACUUAAAAUUUUGUAAGAAUAUAUUUGCUAUUUGAUACUUUUCUAGGGACCCGUGUGAAAUUAAUUCAAAAAAAAAAUUCCACAAUAUUCCGCGAGGGGCAUUUCGGUCACAACACAAUUAAAAUAAAAAAACGUUUUUAAAAGAAAAAAGAGAAAAUAUGUGAGGGUACGGCACGUGCGGGGCCCACGACCCCCGCUCGUGCGCGUAAUCUACUGAGCUAACCCCGCGGGGCCCAGGGUCCCCCAAUCACUUGCGCACACGUGUCGGUCGCACGUGCGAAUUACGUGACUUACUAACCCAUCCCCCACCCUUUCUCCGUACGGGUACCGAAAAUGUACCCAACCCCACCAUUAAUUAAUGGAUAAAUAAUAAUUUAAAUAUUAUGCUCAAUUAAUGAUGGAGAAAUUAGUAUUAAUUACUCUUGCUAUCAUUAUAUGCGUUGUCUCUUAUGGGAUUGAUAUUUUGGAUAAUUUAUGCUUAACUAGUGUAGUAACCUGUACCAAUAGAUAAUUGGAGAAAGAACAGAAAACGACGACAAAGAAAGAGGAAACAGCGAUGACAAAAGCGACAAUAAAGGGUGGAUUUAUUUUGCCGAUGAAGGAAGGUGAUAGUCGAAGGUAGAAGAGGAACAGUUUGGUUUAGUGGAGAGGUGCGAUUCGAUUCGGUUCGGUUCGCUCGUUGAUAAAGGAAGGUGACAGUCGAAGGAAGUGAAAGAGGAACAGUUUGGUUUAGUGGAGAGCUGCAAUUCGAUUCGGUUCGGUUCGGUUCGGUUCGGUUCGGUUCGCUUGCUGAUGAAGAAAAGUGACAGCCGAAGAAAGUAGAAGAGGAACAGUUCGAUUCAAUGCAGAGGCGCGAUUCAGUUCGGUUUAAGUAAAAAAAGAAAAAAAAAAUUGGUUUGGUUCAAACAAAAAAAGAGAAAAACACGUGGAGGACUUGAGUCUAUUCGGGGGAGCCCACAUUCAAUAAUGAUUGAUUCGGUUCAAGUAAAAAAAAAGAAUAAAUCGGUUCGGCUCAAGCAAAAAAAAAAGUGGAGAACUUGAGACAGUUCGGAGUGGAGCCAGUUUAGAUAUACAUAGAUUUUUUUGAUAAAGGUGUAAAAAAAUAUUUAAGAAAGAAAAUUCCAUGAGAAACUCUUUUUCUAAUUUUUCACUAGUUUGAUAGGAAGAAAAAUAAGUAUUUUGAAAAAAAUUUCAUAUUUCAUGGGCGAACUUUUUUUAGGAAAAUUAAAAAAAAGCUAGUUUUUCAUAAAAUAUGGAAAAAAAGGUUUUCUAUAAAAGAUUAUUUUUCUUGAAACCAACGGAUAAAAAAUUAAAAAAAUAAUUUUUCAAGUUUCACAUUUUAUAGGACUAAUCUAUGCUAAUCAGCUAAGUUGAUUCUAAGCUUUUGAAUUUUAAUACGAGUACACGACUUGAUUAAAAAAAAAAAAGAGGCCAGUUUGAUUAAAAUCGGAUCAGUUCACUCAUUCAAACGGUUCAAAAUAAUUUUUUAACUUAUCUGGUUCAAAGAGCAGAGUCAAGCCGCUUUAUAAACUCGGUUAGAGUCAAACCGAUCGAACAAGCUGAUUCGACCUUAUUUUUAAAUUAUUGGUUUUCUAUACAUUAGCCGAUGUGACCUUAUUUGAUAAUUUAUUUUAAAUAUAUUAUCAAAACAAAAUUUAAGAAAAUAGUUUUAAAUAUUUUAAAAUAAUAUUGUAUUUUUAAUUUUUCUUUGUUUAAUUUCACAUAGUAGUCAUUAGGAUAGAUAUAGUGGAAAAAUAUCACUGCUUAUUUAAAAACAUAUCAUUUUAGGGCUUGUCAUUUCACUUAGUUAAGCUUAAGCAUGCAUUUAUUUAUAAUAAUUAGAAGCAAACAUUAAUUAGGGGGACAACUUACACAUCCUACUCCCUUUUUUUAAUGUAUUAGUUAGCAUUAUUAUAAUAAAAAACUAUAUAUAUAUAUAUUACACGUAACAUGGCACGCAUGAUUACAUGAUCUCACUAAGCUACAGCGUAACGAUCUUUUUAUAUCGUUGAACAUAAAAAUAUUAUAAAUACUAUUCUCUGAUAGCUGAAGCUAUCGGAGAUAAAUACGGAUUUGAAAAACAAAAAUUCGACAAACUCAUAUUCUAGUAUAGAUUUUUUAUUAUUAUUAUUAUUACAGAAAUAAUAUCUAAUAUAUCCUCUGAAACUUUAAAAAUAUUUAAUAUAUCUUCGGUCGACUAAAAUGUCCUCAUUGAUUUUCAAAAGUUUUUCAAAUAUUUCAAAACUCGAUUGUUUACUAAUGAAAUUGGGAUUCAUAAGGAUAUUUUGGUAAUAUAGUGGAGAGUAAAUAAGCAAAAAUGCCCCAUAUAUAUAUAUAUAUAUAUUUGAUAUUAUAUUUGAAUUUGUAUUUUAAAAUUUUAAAUUUUAACGUAAUAUAUUAUGAAAUAUGGUAAAGAGAAAUAAUUGUUUCGAUUUUGGAUUUUCGAGUUCGAGUUCUUGGGCCGGGUUAGGUUUUCGGAUUUUUGAAAAUCCGCUUCGAAUCCGUCUCUAGUUCUGAAUUCGAAUCCAAUCAGAUUCAUAAUAUUAUUAAUUUUUUUAUUUAAUUCAAGCUCUAUUUUGAAUCUAUUAAAAUACUUUGAGCGUAGAUGUGACGAAAGAAUAUUAAACAUAAAUAUUAAAAAUACCGUUAUAUACCAACUUAAGUUAUUGAAAGAAAAUAUAAAUAUUUGGUACUUAAAUUCGUCGUAUUCACCCAUCACCUACUAUUUUUUUAUUACAAUAUUUUGGGCAAAUGAUGUGACAAAAAAUGAUUUAAUUUUCCGACUAAAACCUUCUAAUACCCAUUCAUACUUAAUUUAUUUUUGUAUACAAUAAUGUCACAAGGAAUGCUUGCUUAAGCACUCACACUCAAUAGUGCUCCUUAACUAAGCAUCAUUUAAUUAAUUAUUAUUUAGUUAAGUAGUUACAAAAGAUGAUUAAUUAUAUUAAUUAAUUAUCGAUUACUCGGCCUCGAGGCUACAAACCGUAUCGUGCCAUUCGAACCACGAACGAGGACUCACGAUUCACCCUGCUAUUCGUGACCCAGCUCGUGUUCGAUUCGAAAUAUGCUUGAGAUCGAUCAUCUUUUCAUUAAUUAAGUAAUUGUCCUCGAAAGGCGAAUGGUCUGUCCCGAGGGUAUAAAUUGUACCGUCUGAACCAGAAGGUAGCACGCAUAUGCCGGGGGGCCGAGACUCGAUUCAUCGAUCGUCAUAGCUUGACCACUGACCUAAGAGAACGGAUGUAGUAAAUAAUGAGUACGAAUAUUAAAAUUUUAUCCGAAUCUGAAUCGGAAUGAGACUGAUUUAUUCGAUACUAAAUAGAUAUGCUUUCGAAUAUAAGUAUGAAAAUAUUAAAACUUAACGUAUUCAAGUUUAGGUAUGGAUUUUAUCUGUACCCUAUCCAAACCCAAACCUGACCCAACCUAAAUAGAGUUUAGUAUAUUUUGAAAUAAGUUGGAGAGAAAUAAUUAUUUCGGAUUUGAUUACGGAUAUAGAUUUUUCAAAACCCGUCUGGCUUAAUUAGGAUCAUGCUCGAAUUCAGGUUUCUAAUUUCGUUACCGGUGUUUGAAUUCAAGUUUUUCAAAAUUUGUCUGGAAUCAGACCUGUCGACAGCCCUAAUCGAGAGCUGUGACCAGCUAGCCAGCUGAAGCUCUGACGUACGAAGAACUGAUUACGCACGUGAGGACGGCCGUGCGCGUAGGAUUCCCCCAUGCGAUUCUCGCACGUGCCGGCCGCCUCGGCCGGCUAAACACAAUUAGGGUUGGGUGUUUUUCUUUAAAUUUUUUUCCUAAACCCUAGUUUAAUUUAUAAUAAGAGCAAGUUGUGUGUUUUUCUUCUUUCUUUUUUCCCAUCAAUCUAUGCACUUGUUUUGACAAAGUAAGACAAGUCCAUAGGGGGGAGGGGAUGAUUCCUUGGAAUUGGAGGAGUUUUGUGCUAAACAAGUCUAAAUAAUCACAUAUACUUUAUUAAAUUAUAUAUAUAGAUAUCUAUAUAUAUUUAUAUAUAUCAAUGCCAAUGUAUAAAUGCAAUGCAUUGCUUUGGACUUUGAAGAGCCCUAGUUGAUCCCUUUUACCAAUAUGACCUUUUCUUCACUUGGACACAAAAUGGACUUUUGCGAGUUUCGGAACACAGUUUUCUGACUGAAAAAGUAUUUUUUGUCUGUAUAAUUUCGAAGAAAAGUAAAUAUUUUUAUUUUUUUAAUUUAAAGCAUGAUGACUAUAGAAAAAAUAUUUUUAUUUUCUGGCUAUAUAGAAUAGUUUUUUUUUUGUCUUUUUAAUUCUUAAGAAAAGUUUUUUUUUUUUGAUUUUUUGUUGAAAUCUUUUUAUCUGAAACAUGAAGAUUAUAGAAAAAAUAUUUUUAUUUUCUGGUUGAAAUAGUACUUUUUGUUUCUUAGUAGUUUUGUUAAAUUUUUUGUUGAUUUUUUUUAUUUGAAACAUGAAAACUAUGGAAAAAAUGCUUUCAUUUUCUGACUAAAAUAGUAUAUUUUGUCUCUUUAAUUCUCAACAAAAGUAGGUUUUUUAAAAUUUUCGGUCGAAAUAUUUUCAUCUGAAACACAAAAACUACUGAAAAAAGUUUCAUUUUUUGACUGAAAUAGUACUUUCUGUCUGUUUAAUUUUCAAAAAAAAUAGUUUAUUUGAUUUUCUGUCGAAAUUCUUGUAUCUGAAACACGAAAACUACAGAAAAAAUGUUUUCAUGAAAAAGAAAAUUUUCAAACAAACAAUUUUUCAUAAUUUUGGGAACAACCAAACACUUCCUCAAUUAGCUUGAGUACGGGGUUUAGUGAGAGUAGAGUGAGUGUGUGUGUGUGUGUGUGUGUGUGUGUGUGUGUGUGGUGUUUGGCACAAAAAUGUUGGUGCUCCCCAUGACAUUUCCAUCAAAGUAAAUGAAAAAAAGAGCAUGAAUGUUUGAGCUCCUUUGCUUAAUUAGAUGGGGUUUAGGGCAUGGACCAAUUCACCCUAUUUUAAGCCCCAUUUUUUAAAAUAAAAUAAAAUAAAAUAAAGUGGGUAAAUCCAAAAAUGAUCUUGUAAUGUGUGUGUUUUUGGAACAAGGAUCUAGGACUAAUAUUUUCUUUUUUUUUCACUCAAAGUGGAUAUGUGGCUUUUGUUCAUGGCUCUACUUAAAUUAUAGGGAUGGAAAAAAAAAAAGAAAAAGAAAAAGGAGUAGCUAUAACUAUGAGGCCCUUUUCCCCUUGGCUACUCCUUUGUAAUCUUAAUAUAUUUUAUUUCACUACUUGUAAAUACAAUAUAAAGACCCUUUAGAUACACUCUUUAGUCCUUUUUUUUUUCUUUUACUAUUUAUCACUACAAUACAUUCAUUUAAAGAUACUUUACAUUCAAUAAAUGCUAGUGAUACAAACAUCUAACCAUAAUGGGGAUGAUGAUAAAAAUGUGUAGAAUUUAUCUGUACUUUGAUCCAUUUUGAUUUAACUAUAAGAUAUUUUAAAAGUUUGAUUUUAGUACCGAACCUUUCAAAGUUUAGAUUCAUUACUUAUUUUAAUAAAAUUAUAAGAGCAUAAAUUAUAUGAAAUAUGCUAAAUUAAUAGGCUUGUAAAAGUAAAUGGUCCAUUCAAAAUUUGAAGUUUAAUUAAGAGUCACUAAAUUACUCAAAUCAAAUGAAUUAAAAGAUAAAAUAGCAUAAUCAAAACUUUUAAAGGUUAGGUAAUUAGACUAAAUGGGUUUACGAUCCAAUUUCGACUUUGCUCCAUAGAAAAUACUAAGUAAUUGUCAUCACUAAGCACUUUUGGGACAAAAUAGUUUAUGUAUAAGAAUUUGAUCUGUUCCUAUCAAAAGUGAGGCUGCUAAUAUCAUUUUCUCUCGUAAAUAGGUCUCUACGAAAACUUCUUUGGGUUAUUAGAUUACCAUUAUUUUUAAUCUAAUCUAUGAUUAAAAAAAUAAAAAGAGUUAAGAAAUUUCUAAAUCUCACACCUACCUAACAAGGACAUGCAUGAUCAUGUAGUACCAUUUUCUAGAGAGAGAGAGAGAGAGAGAGAGAGAGAGAGAGAGAGAGAGAGAGAAUUUGUAGGGCUAAAUGGCCUCCAACUAGGUGUAACUUAAGGUGCACAACAUUUGCAUUUAGGGCAUAAAAAAUAAAACAAAAUAAAAAUAAAAUAAAAAUAAAAAAGUCUCUCCCUAUUUAUUCCUAUGUAGGGUAGUGGGAAACAACUAAGUGUAACCAACCAUAGGAUGUAUGUAGCUCAUGUUUUGUGUACAUUUUUUUUUCUUUUUUUUCUUUUUUAAUCUUCUACACCAUUACUCUUGUAAUUGUCCAAUUUGAGUGACAUUAUUGUAUUACAUCUCAAAGUAAACUAAUAAUGAAAGUGACUCUUUUUUAUUAAUAUAUAUAUUUAAUUUUUUUCAAAUUUUUUCGGCCGUCCGAUUGUCCAUCGCCGGCCGAAUUAGAUGGGCGAUUUCGUAAUAAAUUAUGUCAUUAAUGCUAAAUAAUUAGCCUACUAGCAUUUUUAUACUAUGAAAGUCAAAUACUUGGUUGCUUUAGUUUUACUUAAAGGUUUCCCCCUUAUCUUCUUGUUGUUAUUAAUUAAAUAGUUAAAAAAGAAAAUUUUAGGUCUAAAAUGGUGAUGGAGUGUUUACAAAACUUUGUUACUUCCUAAAUUUGUCACAAAAGUAAAAGAAAAUUUCUUUUUCUUUUUCUAAUUUAAUGCAAUGUGUGGAGUGAUUUUAUACAAGUAAUUUUUGUGGUUACAACAACAACAACAACAACAACAACAACAACAACUACCAAGGCAAAAUUACAUUACCUACCAAUUCAUGGAACACUAUAUGGUGUGAUUUUAAUUAAAUUAAUUGGCCUAAAAAGUUGAUAUUUGCUAACAUGCUAUAGCAAUUUAGUUCUCAUCCUACAUAGCAAUUUGAAAUUGCUUUUUUCACUUCAAAAAGCUAGAGUAAAAGGAGGUUGAUAAACAAUUAGCAACUUAUAAGAAAUACUUUCAAUGUAACAUGAAGUUAGAAUAAGAUUAUGGGUCGCAGUUCAGAGCUAUAUUGAUCACUUGAACACGAGCAAGCUGACACCAGCUCGAUCGUGUUCCGCUCAUUUAAUAAAACGAGCGAUCAAUCGCGAGCUAAUUUCAAGCAAAGCACAAACUGGCUCACGGACAGUGAGCUGGAUGAUGGCCAGCCAUAACCGCAUGUAGACUUUUAGAAGUUAUUUUGUAAACUAACGUUUGGUUUCACUGGCCACCAACUUGGACUAAUAGAGCUGCUAUAACCCUAAAUUAUCCUGAAACUCUGCAGUAAGUAUAGUAUACUGCUUUUUCAAAUCAAAUGCCAAGAACACAAACUUUGUUUUGUGUUUUUCAAUCCAAAAGUCGAGAGAACACGAGCCCUAUUUUGUGAAAAUCACAAGCAAGGAUCAAACCCUGUCCUCGUUCCCGAACCCCCGACCUCAUGAACGACAACUCAGUUGUGAUAUAUAUACAUAUAUAUAGAGAGAGAGAGAGAGAGAGCAGGACUGCUGUGCUCUCAGGAGUACGGAGGCCUCCAUGCUCCUGAGCCGUUUUCGAUGAUGAAAUUUUCGAAUCGACGAUCGGCUCCGUUAGACUUGAUCUAGUGUAUUUGAAGUUUUUAGAAAAUAAUUUUUGCGAUUUUUCGAUAUCAUUUACCUAGCAAUUAAUCAAAAGGAUUCAAAAUCAAUAAUUUUUAACGGCUGAAAAUAAAAAUCUCUAUAAAAGUGGUGAUAUAGCACUAAAAUUUUCGAUCAAAAUAUUAAUCUUGUCGUAGAUAGUAUAAAGAAUUUUGUAACAAAAUUCAUCUAAUUUAAUACUUCUACACGUUAUAACUUAAAAACGCAGAUAUCAAUUAUUAAAAAUGAUUCAAUCACUAAGGUAUAUGAUAUCAAAAAAUCGCAAAAUUAUUUCUAGAAAUUCAAAUACGCUAGAUCAAGUCUAACGGAUCCAAUCAUCGAUUCGAAAAUCCAUCAUCAAAAGGCUCAGGAGCACGGAGGCCUCUGUGCUCCUGAGAGCACACACAACCCUCUCUCUCUCUCUCUUCUCUCUCUUCUUAAUUAUAUAAUAUUAUAUAUAUAUAUAUUAUAUAUAUAUCUGACAGCUUUCUUUUUUGCGGGAUAUUAUAUAUAUAUAUAUAUAUAUAUAUAUAGGGAGAGAGAGAGAGAGAGAGAGAGUUCGGCUACUAUACUCUUAUGAGUAUAGAUUUGUUUAUAUUUAUUAGUUUUCGACCGUUGGAUCUACUCUUUUGAUUAUUUCCAUUCGUUAGAUCAUAGAUACUAUUUAAUCAGUCACCCACUCAAUCUUAGAGAACCACUAUCAUCCUAACCGCAUAUUCUUUCAUCCAAAAAUCGAAAACUUAUGAGUUCGAAAGGAUCUAUACUCAUAAGAGUAUAAUAAACCUACUUUCUUUCUCUCUCUCUCUCUCUCUCUCUCUCUCUCUCUAUGUAUAGGUUUAUAUAUUGCCGCUCUUUUUGAAUAAAGAAAAUUUUCAAAUAGGCUCUCUCCAAAGACUAUGAAGGUAGGGAUGCAAACGGGGCAGACUCGGGAGGGCAGGAGAAUUUUCCUACUAUCACUCCAUUUCUUAUCGGGUCUGGAUGGAUUUGGGACGAAUUAAUUUUAAUCCUAGUUUUGGUUCCCACCUAUCGCUUUGUUCGGAGCGAAUCAAAAUGCGAGGAGAUUUUUGACGAAUUUUGACGGAUUGGAGUGGGCUAAAGGAAGAAAGGAGUCUUCCGCCUCCCGCUCCAUUUACUUGAUGAAUCGGGACAGAUUCGAGCCAAAUUAUAUUGUUCUGUAUUUUUUAUUUUCAUUUAUCGUUUUAUUCGAAACAGGACAGAAACUCCACCAACCAGAAUGAGUUUGCAUCCCAGAAUGAAGGUAAGGAAGGAAGGAAGGCCACAAGAGAUAUGGAAAAUCCAUGCAUGUAGUGGGACCCACAUAUGAAUGUUCCUUUGUGUGGCAACACUUUUUAAAGUGGAAAAAAACAGUGCAUUAUUAUUGUUAUUAUUAUUAUUAUUAUUAUUAGGUUUUCAAAGAUUGAAGCUUUUACGCCUCUCUCUCUCUCUCUCUCUCUCUCUCUCUCCAUUAAUUUCUUUGGCCCUACCUCCUCUUUCCAUAAAAUUUUGUCUCACUUGCUUUUUAAGUCCCCAUUGUAAUAUUGUAUUGUGUUGUGUUGAGUUGUGUUGGACUUUUUUUUUUAAUUCAAAAAAGGGAAAACUUAAAAGUGCUGUACUUUGUUUUCUUUAUGUUAUCUUUGCAAUUUAUGAAAUGAUAAAUACAAAUCACAUAAUAAUAAAAAGAUAUCAUAUAUUUCACCAUUUUCUCCUUUCUAAUUAAUAAUGAGUAUGUAAACCACUGGAUAACAUAGCUACAAAUCACAUAAUAUGAUAUUAUAUUUCAUCAAGAUAAUGGGCCUCAAAUGGGCCUUCUUUGGGCCUUCUUUGGGCCUGGUUUUGAUUCGCAACAUUUCGGACUUGUUCGAAUGCAUGAACAUCUUGCUCGACACAUCUCUUUUAGUUAUUCAGGAGCAGGAGUAUCAUAGAUACCUGGAAAAACCAUAAACUUUUCGUUGCGUAUAAAUUAUCACUGAAUAACUUUGUGCGGCAUCGGAACAACUCCGUGUCACUUACGCACUUCAUGCUGAUCUUGUAACUUCAAAUAGCAACAAAUAUAAAGUGUUUUCGAAAUGUUACAAAUCAAUGAAACGAAGAGGGGAUCACACCCCUCCAUGUACCAGUAGGGAUGCAAACGGGGCGGAUCCGGGAGCAGGAGGGUUCCCCCAACUCCUGCUCUAUUUCUUGUCGGAACGGGAUGAAUUCGGGACGGAUUAUUUUUUAUUUUAUUUUUUGCUCCCGCUUACUGCCCCAUUCGGGGCAUAUUAGGACGAGAGCGAAUUUUUGGCAAUUUUUUGACGAGACGGAUUAAAGGAAGAAAAAGGUCUCCCGUCUCCCGCUCCAUUUUACUUGGCGGAUCGGGAUGGAUUCAGAACGGAUUAUAUUUUUCUAUAUUUUUUGUUCUCACUUACCGCCCCAUUCGGGGUGGAUCGGGAUGGGAGCUCCACCAACCCGGAUCCAUUUGCAUCCCUAUGUACCACUGCAAUUCAUGUAACCAAUGUUUUCAUGUUAAGCCACAUUCAUGCUACAGUGAUUUAGAAGAACAAUCACCACCUCCAUUGUAAGCAAAAAUUGCUGUUUGGUUCCUCAGAAAACUACGAAGAAAAAAAAAAUUCGAAAAAAAGUUUUCAUUUUCCAAUUUACACAAUCCUUUUUUUCAUAUUCCAACAAACCAAGCAGUCCCUAGCACGAGCAUGCCCGUGUGCCAGCAGUACGACACGACACGACACAGACAGAACAGCAUGUCUUGACAUCCAACUCAUUUUACACGAUGGCACAGUUGGCACAGUCGGCACAGGCUUAUCAGCACGAGCGAUAUCCGGCCAUGCCAGACGCCGCCGCAUGCCAAUCCUUGCACUGAAGCUCAAAGCAUCGAAACUCGAGCAAAAAAAGAAAAGGCACAAAUGCGCAAUCGCGCAUAUUAUUCAAAUUUUCAAUGGCAGAACAAUUUAUUCGGUUUUUGUCUGAGUCUAGAUAUAUAUAGUGGAAAUAAGAAGGUCAAAAGUACACAAUAAAAGCACUGAUCAUGCUUAGUAGCUGCUACUCUAAAAACUUGCUACAUCCAAAUCAACAUCUCAUUCUCCAAAUUCCGAAAACCGUAAAUCCAUGGAAAUAGGAAGUCACUAAUUUACAUGCCAAAUAAAAGUACGACUUUUAAGGCGCAACACAAGUAAUCUCCUAAAAAAAAUUCACGACGAAUGCACUCACUUGAUGGUCUACGACGGGGCGCCGAGGUAAGAAGCCAAGCGCAGUAUGUCGCUGAAGACCCCACCAGCUGUGACUUCUGCGCCGGCGCCUGGGCCGCGCACGAUGAGUGGCUGGUCCUUGUAUCGGGCGGUCGUGAAUGCUAUUAUGUUGUCGGAGCCCGAUAGCUGCGCAAAUGGGUGGUCCUUUUUGUAUCUUCGUAAUUCUACUUGCCCUUUCUCAUUCACCACAUCCACAACUCCGACGUAUCUCAAUACCUUCAAAUAUUUACAUAAAGAGUUCGAUGAAGUCGAUAUCGGGCUGUUACGAGACAUAUUUGGAAGGUCUUUGACAUAUGUACCUCUUGUUGAAAGUUGGCGAUAACAUAUAUGCCCUUAAAAAUUUCGUUCUUUUACGAUAUAGUCGUUAUCUUAAAGGGGAGUCGAAGUUCAUGAUAAUUGAUGUUGGAUUAGUUGAAGGCUUUCACAAAUGUCUCAGAAGCGAUUAUUCGAAUGUAUAAAUGGAAAUGCAAAUUCUACAAGGGUAUAUGCGUAAAUAGAAGAUUUUUCUAUUGGGAAGAAAAGGAAAGAGAAGUAAUCUAGAAUUGAUUUGCUCACAUCUCCAGAAGCCUCAGCAUCCUUUCUUUCUCUCGCCAACUCCUCGUCGAAGGACGGAAGCUUCUGCAUGAAUUCCUCGGCAGACGAACAUGCCUACAAAUUCACCAGAUCUUAGUGUUUUAAUCCAUUUGAGAAUCCUUUGUUUUUUUUUUUUUUUUGAGUCCAAAACAUCCUUACUUUUAAUGGUUCUGGUACGAGACUUCGGACUGGGAUAUCGGAAAGCUCGAGCUUCAACCCUGACUCUCUUGCAAGGAUGAUAACCUGCACCGAAAGAAUGACAAAAUGUAAUGAAUAAAAGAAGAAAUUAGAAAAGAAUUGCAAAAAAAGCCAUUAAAUUAAAUAAAAUCUCCUACUUAAUAUUAGAAACACCAUUCUCUAACAGCUUAAGUUUUUUGAGAACAACGAUAGUUUCACGUUAUUUAAUAUGGUAUCAUAGUAGAAGAUCCUGAGUUCGAGUCCCGCCAGACUCCCAGCAGUAUUAAUUUAUCAGAAAGAACCAAUGACCUUACCUUUCUGGCAACAUCUGUUCCGGAUAGAUCAUCUCUCGGGUCAGGUUCAGUGUACCCCGCCGCUUUUGCCUCAGCUACAACAUCACUAAAAGACCGUGUUCCUUCAAAGUUGUUGAAAAUAUAACUCAAAGUGCCACUGCAAUAGAUAGAUUAACCAAAUAUAGCAUAAGUUAAAGAAGCAACCUAAAUAUAGCAGGAAACUUAUUAUAUAGUCACUUUAUCGGAAAAAAGGGGACAGAAAAUGCCUUGUGUUUCAGAUUUUUUUUGGAUUAUUUGUUCAUGGGAAAUGUUAACUUGUUAUCAGUCCAACAUAUAUACCUGAAAAUGCCCUCAAUACGCAAUAUCUUAUCACCGGUUUCUAGAAGACCACGUAGAGUACUGAUGAUCGGAAGUCCCGCACCAACAGUCGCUUCGUAGAAGUAGUGGGUGUAUGAUUGACGUUGCAGAGUCCUCAAUUUUAGAUACUGUUAAUUGAUUAGAAAGGAAAUAAGAUGACAAGCUAUAUACAUUUAACAGCUUACAAGACAAUAAAUACGGAAAAAGUCAUCAAAGCAAGCUUUCUUAUUUAAACUCAGCUAGGGAAUAUUAACAGUUAAGUUUUCUUUCGGACUCAAGUGUUAGAUCGCAUAUUGAGAAGUUGACUUUUGAAAAUGACAGCAACAAAGGAAAUAUAAGAUGGGCAAAAUUUGAAUCUAACAAACAUUUUGGAUUUUUUUUUUUUCUAAUACCUUCUCUAACAUUUCAUGUCGCAUUAUGACGUGCGACUGUCUUUUACAACUUUUUUGGAGAUAUAUAAUUAUCAGCGACAAACGUUAGCCAAGCAACCAAAUCGUACUCAUUUUCUGGCCAAUUAACUGAACAAAACUUUCAAAGGGAGAUGCAAAAGUAAUAAUCCGGCAAAUAUUUCAUACUGCAAACGCCUUAUCCUAAUAUUUCAUUUUAAAAUUUGGUGAUGAUAAAAGAGGAGCAAUAUGAAAAGGACAUUUUACACAGUAAGGAAAUGGUUAAGAAAAUAUUUUCCAAUAAUCCAAUUGGUUGUGUUGAACAGAAAAAUAGUCAAGAAAGAAAAAUACCAGAUCAAGUGGCCCCGAGUUAGCUUUCUUAUUUGGUGUCACGACAUGUAUACCCUUACGCAACCAAUCGUAGUAACGGUUUGCAACGCUGGUAUCCGCAGUGCAAUCUACAAUCACUCUAUUUGGGAAAAAGUGAUUGCCGUGCAAAUGUUGAGCGAAUCUAUCCAGAUCAGCUUGUUCACCUUCUUCUUUCAGAACCUCUUUCCAUUUGGUUAAGUCAAUUCCUCUACAAAAAAGCAGCUAAUAAGAAAUUAAAAAUUAAGAGGGUCAAAAUAAUGAACUACGAAAAUGCUUAGUUUUUCUCCUUGUGUCUCUUUCUUUUUUAUUAUUAUUAUUAUUAUUUUAUUUUUGUAGAUCCCAUAAAUAAAGUCACCCAUCGACCAGAAGAAUAGAAAUCAAAAUAGUUAAUGAGAUAUUUUAGUAAACAACCAUUAGGUUAGGUAACUUAAAAAUGAUAAUUUAUCUACUGCAGAAAAAUCAACAGAGCGACACAAAAGUAAGAAUUUCUUACUACAAAAGUUCAAAAUAACUGAUGAGAAUUAAAGAGCCAGAGAACAGGAUAGUCGUAAUCAAGAGAAGUCCAAAAGGAACUAGCAGCAGUAUAUCUCUCAUGAUAUAGAGAUUCUUUUAUUAAUUUGUAGGGAUUUAAGGAGAGUUUCCAGUUUAUGCAGCAGAAAAGUUGAAAUCGAUUUUGUAAAAGAAUAGAACUAAAAUAACAGUGGAAUACUAGAUCUUCUUGGUCCAUAAUGCCAGUAAUCUUUUCUUAUUGAAAUUGUCAAAACCAUAAGAUACAUGAAUUCUAAAUACUAGAUAAAUUAAGUAGCCAAUAGCUAUGUUUGAUUCUACAAGCAGCGUACAAGUUACAAUAGAAUAUAUAAUGCCUGCAUAUUGCAUAUGAAACAUGAAGUUCCAAGAAAUGGAGUAGCUUACGUAUCAUUCAAAACCAUUGUUCUCGAGCCAGUUAUCCCCAUGACACGCAAAUCGAUGUUAAAUUCUUCCUUGAGAGCCGCUGCCUGCAUAUGAAUUCAGAUUGAGUUCCACAAAAUGAAUAGAGUAAAAUUCAUUAAUAAAUCAAAGUCAUUAAUAUUUCUUUCUCGGACAAACACAAAAGAGGAAUAAUGUAAAAGAACACUUUCAAGCACCCAUAAGAAGCAUACAACAAGUGCUUCUGAGUUCUAACAUAUUUUUUCGAAGGAGAACGCAAUAAAAAAAGGAAUAGAAAUUUGAGUCGAUCUACCUGAUCCCUAAGCUGGUUAAGCAGUGCACUGCCAAUCAACCCGGGUCCAAUAAUACCCAUCGCUAGUGUGGUCUUUGAGAGGUAAAACCUUGAGUGAGCGGCCUUCAGAGCCCGUACGCAAUCUUCUUGCUUCAAAACGACGGUGAUAUUGUACUCACUGCAACCUUGAGAGAUUGCCCUUACAUUUAUAUUAGCCUGAAAUGAAAGAAAAGGAAUCGGUAAAUUUUUGACUUGCUUAUAUGAUCUCCAGAGUAAAUAAAUAUUCUAACUUAAUUAACUCAAACUAAUUUAAAAAAAUAUAAGACCUUUGCUAGAGCAUCAAAUAGAGUGGCACUAACUCCAGGAGUACUUGCCAUCCUUUGGCCAACUGCUGCCAAAAUGCUACAAUUAUGAAUGACCUCCACCUGAAAGAAACAGAGUUUAAUGAAUUAAUUAAAGAAGCAUGCACAAAAUCAUAAAAUGAAAAGGUGCAAAAAGCAAAGAAUUGUGAGAUUGGAUCUUGAAGGACGUGAAGAAUACACAACCACCAAUUUUAACAUUUGAGACCCUCUGAUUUGGCUUUGGAUUAAAGGUACCUUUUCUCACUAGAUUCUACCUUAUUACUCUCCAUCUCCCAAACCCACAAAUCAACUCUCCGCUCUUUAAAAUAGACUACUCUUUCACCCUGAUCCUACAUACUAUAUCAUCAUUUUAUUGCAGUAUUAGAAAAAAAAAAAAGAGGUUUAAAUUAGUACCUGGGAAAGCCUCCCAGCCUCCAAAGCUUGACGGAAUCUAGCAUGUAAAGCAUCAGAUACUGCUCCGACUUCUUUCUCUGGCACAGCAAAGCAUAUGGAGUGCUCACUGCUAGCCUGCUCAGUUCUUAUAUUUUAGUUCAUGCGACAAAAUCAGAAAGCUAGUAAAAUAAUUUGUAAGUUAAUUCAAAUUAUUACCUGAGAAAUCAUGAUAACAUUAGCUCCGACAUCUUUCACAGUACUAAAAAUAGCACUUGCUGUACCAGGUACACCGGCCAUUCCCGUUCUGCAGUGGAGUAUAUAAGAAACUAUUUAAUGAUGCAGUGUAUGUUCAAGUCACAAAAUAACAAGAUAAAAGCAUAUUUGGCCUGGUUUAUGCAACAAAUCUCUAAUAAAGACAGAAGAAGCUUCUAGAAACUAUGUACUUUGCUAACAAAAAAUGUCAAGCUUCUACUAUGACAGAAAGCUAAAGUGAGCUUCUGAGCCAUAAAAGCAGAAACCUAAAUUUGAAUACUCCGUAGCGAGAAGCCAUUAAACCCAUUUUAAUGAAAAAGCUACUAGUGCUUUUUUGAAUAACUCUACUCAAACCACACAGUCAAACAGGUCCUAAAAUAAAAAAGGCAACUCACCCCUCAACAUUAACAAGAGCCAAGCUGUCGAUGGUAGCAAAUGCUUUGACAACAGACUCUAACCCCCUCUUCUCCCCAUUUUCAUUGUUAGGUUGCUGGCAAAUCAUUGUUCCGGGAGCAGAUAGAUUGAAGACAUUCCUGAUAACAAUCGGGAUGUUAUAUUUCAUCACCGGUAUUAUUGUACGCGGAUGCAAAACGUUUGCCCCAAAGUAUGACUGUAACAAGUUAACUUUCAAGUCAGUGCAUUAGUUUAAUACAAUAAUAAAUAAGAAAAAGAGAAAAAGAGGGAAUAAAACAUGCUUGGAUGAGCUUACCAUUUCCCAGGCCUCCUGAUAAGAUAAUGUCCUUAGUAUCACAGCCUCGCUAACUGCAAAAAGAGUUUUUAGUAGAUGCACCCAAUUUAUUUGCCUAAUGGUAGAGCAUCAAAGCAUCAAAAAAAUCAAUUCCGCCCUAUAUACAAUUGUGUAUGGUUGCUACGGGUACCCCGAAGUGUAUGAUAAAAUGGGUGGCAGUGCAAUUAACAGUAGGUGCUAGGUUGGUAGAGUUAGGGUGAAUUUACUUCUCUCCUCUGGAAAUUAAAUGGGUGGAUAACCUAGGGUACGCUAGGCGGUAUCUCAACCUGUCAACCAUUUUCACUAGGUAAACAAAAUUAUAUAUUAUGAAGUUAAAGAACAAACUAAGAUGUAUAUAACUCUACAAUUAGCCGCUUUAACCAUAAAUCUCUGGUAAAUGUACCUAUUAACAUCUAAAUAUACUUAUGCAAAGAAAAUGACCAUAUGAAAACAGAUUCAAUUCAUUUAUCAAAUUUUCUUUUGAGAGUAAAGAGAAAUUUUGAGUGUGAAAAACUUUUCUAGGGAUAAAACUAUAAGACCUUUUCUGGGGUCCGCACUGAAUACUCCAUCAACAUCAGUCCAUAUGGUGACUUGUCCGGCCCGAACAAGGGCACCCAAAAUGGCUGCUGAGAAGUCGCUUCCAUCUCUUUUCAAUGUUGUCGGGACAUUGUUGGGUGUACUAGCAAUAAACCCAGUUGCAAUGAUUGUAUCAGCAGGUUCUCGCGCAAACCACUUCUCAAGUCUCUUCUCAGAUUCUGUAUAGUCAGGAUCUACCUGAUUGGAACUAGUCGGAUUUACGAUUAGGACUUCUCUUGUAUCCAUCCAGCUGCAAGGCCUUCCAGACUGCAUAGAAGAAAAAAAAAAGUAUUGGUUAGGGGCUUUUGCACAUAUUCAUCUUUGCAGAAACGUUCAUUUACAUACACACAGCAAAAGUAAAUAUUCACUUAUAUCCCUUGAAAGUGAAAUUCCUUUUUGUUAUUUUUAUUUUGGGGAAUCAUCCAAUUCAUGGGCUGGAGGGUUGUUUGGUGUUAGAAAAGGCAUUUCACAUACCUACAAUGUACAUAUGUGAAAAAUUAAGUUUUGGAAGGGUAAGUACGUAAAUAUGUCUUUAAUUAUAAGAUCUGGGAAAUUCAUAAAAUUUUCAUGUGUACCUUCUUUAUGGCAUAUGACAACAUUUGAGCAGACCACAACUCUCCAUGACCAACAACGAAGUCAGAAAAAGAUUCUGUCGCAUGACCAGCUGCAAAACCAUCAAAGCUUUUAGGAAUCAAAAAAAUUAACACAAUCUUUUAAAAGAAACAACUAAAAAAGAUUUUUUUCAAAAAAAAAAAAGCUAUUGGCAAGCAUGAUGAUUUUCAAAGCUAGUUCUCUUUCGAGAACAAGGAAAGAGAAAAGGAAAUAAGAGCAUCCUAAUGCUGCUGCAGUCUUAUAUUUCUAGAUUUUGAGACAAACAAAAAGAGGACAAAUCAAGACAUUAUUUGUUUAAGUUGAAAUUAUAAUAUAUUUUGAAAACCAUGAACACUAUCCAAAUCAUUGCUAAGAAAAGUACACUACCAAAACCAACUCCAUUAAAUAAAAAGAGUGUCAGAUAGCAAGAAACCUAUGUAUAUAGCACGAAGCAUUGCUUUGAGGUUGCUGAUGUCGGUAUGCAACUGAGACAAGAAUCUAGCAAGGUCUUCUCCAUCAAGUAGAUCUUUCGCAGUCGCCAUAUGCUUCUCAAAGACCUCAUCAAGUGCCAACAUAUAAGAAUCAUCCCUUGCCUGAGCCUUGUACACGAGAUUAUACAUCAUGUCUGUAACUUUGGACAUUGCAGAAACAAUGAUCAGCUUCCUUUCAGAAGAAUCCUUAAGAAUUAUAUCCGCAACACUUUGAAUUCUUUCCGAGGUGCCCAUGCAGGUCCCACCAAACUUGUGAACUGACCACAUGUUGCCUUUGGGGAGUUGAGCAGCCUCUACAAUUUGAUCAACUGACACAUCUGUCACGAACAACACAGGACAAGCAAGUCAAUAUGAGUAAUACUACAAGUUUGCUAUUAACUAAUAUACCUGUACAAAUUUAAAAUUGCAUGAAUGUCCUUUAAAAACUUAGUUUCUCGAAUAAGGCCUAAAUGCCCCCCUCUUAGGAAACUUUGUAAACUAAAUUAAAACCAAAACCACUCAACACCAACACCCCCCACCCCCCCAACAACACAAAACACUACCCCAGCCCCCCUUCACACCCCCCCCCCCCCCACAAAAAAAAAAACAAAAAACCCCACCCCCAACCCAACACUGGAAGAAAAGACAACCUAGAAGAACUCCAAGAAAAAAAAGCAAUCUUCAAUAUUUAGCAAAGAGUUUAAGAGUUUUCGUAAUGGUUCUUAAAUAAGAAGGCCCAUGAGACAUCGAAAGGAAACUACCUGCAACUGAAGCAAAAAUGUGAUUGUAAGACCAUCCUUCCUCAUAGUUCCUGAAACACCACCUAUCCUGAACAACAGCUACAAAAGGUAAGAUAUUAAUGAAGAGAAGUCCUUAUACAUGAUAGUAGCCAAAAAAAAAAAAAAAGCAUAAAUCAUUUGCUCCUUAUUCAGAAGUUAGUUAAUAUAAUUAGAAAACAGAAACAGAGACUUCUCUAAAAAUAGCUAACCUGUUUUUUUUUUUUUUUUUUUUUUUUUUUUUUUUUUCGGUAGUAUUGUAGUAUUGUAGUAGUAGUAGAUAAAGUGAUAAACAACAUAGCAUGACGCCCGAAUGCAAGAACAGCACAUAUUAUCAUGCUAUAAUAUAUUUACAGCACCUCCAUUGAGGAUUAAAUUGUUUUUAGACAUCCUAUCCCCUAAUCAAAGGAGCACCAGGUAAAUGCUUUCAUAAUAACAGAAGGAUGUCUUUACUUGGUUUUAUAUGAAGGUGCCAAUGCAAUCAAAAUCUUAUUUGCAAAUGUUUUCGCAUAUAUUAAGCAUGAUGAGCAAAGAUCACUGGCUUUACAUGUUCAAUCCAGUUCCCAACUGGAAUCAAUCAAGACAAGUUAAUAGCUAAAUCGCAUUAAUUUCAGAGAACAAUCAUGAUCAUCAUGAUCAUCCGAGCCUUUCUCACUAUACGAUAUAAAAAUGUCAUAUGUCCAUCGCUUGAUCCUAAAUCAAUAAACAAAUGCAUCACUAAGCAAUUUUAGAUGUCGACAGGGAUAGUUUUUCGUGUCAAACCAGGAUAUUAUAGGAUCUCACAAAAAAAAACUAUUCCAGUUCCUUUCAGGAUUAUGUUAUCCCUCACUUUGUCCUCACUUAUCCCCAUAACUAUUACAUUUAUCCCUCAUUAUUUCAAUUAUCCCUACAAUGAUUCUUUGUUACACCUGCAAUGUCAAACCGACCAUAAAAUUGAAUAUGUUCUUGGUUCAUCUCAGAACAGAGAGACAAUCCACGGAUUGAAAAGAAAAGGUUAUCACAGUAAACUCAAUACCAAACCAAACUGUGCCUAAAAGGAAAGGCAGAAGCAUAGCUUAUUUUUUCUGUUGAUGAUUUGUUUUUGCCACACAAUACUGCCGCAAGUUAGAUCUGAUUAUGAAAUAAAGUAAUAGGAAACUUCUCAAUCAGUCAUCAUCUUGUCGACGGCGUCAUCAAUCUAAAUCGAAAUUUUAAUAGUUGAAGGUAAACUCCUUUCCAUUGGCAACUCCGACACUUAUUGUCUAGGCCUUGAGACUAAUACUGAGCUUACGCACGCUAAAAUUUCCUAUGUCUCAUCAAGAAAAGAAUGUUAAUUAUCCUAAAGAAUGCUCCAAACAAGCAACUCAAGCAUUAUUCAAAAGAAUAAACACGUUGAUUAUCUGAACAGUCUCAAAUAAACAUAAAAAUUAUUAGCACAAUUUAACCAUCCAAUGAAGCAAACAUAUUUGGAAAUUUAAUGCAUUCCUUACUGCGUAAUGCGUCAUGCAACUCAAUCUACAGUUCUUAAACAACCAAAAAUUGGAGUAAAUGGGAACCACACCCACCUCAGAGCACUCCCAAAUAGUGACAAUUUACUCCCCCUGCUUUGCUGCCACGGUGAAAUCGCUCGGCUGCACCAUUAAAAACAAAUCAUAAAACACAAAUGACAGCAACUUCACAUCAAAAAUUAAUCUUACAAAAUGAACUUAAAGGAACCAAAAAAAAACAAAACAAAACCGAAUACGCAUUUCCAUGCUUAGUACAAGAUUCUGCGACCAAAAUGGUAACGUUAGAUCGAAACCUGUACUAAUCUUUCUAGCUUAAAGUUUUAAGUUCAAAUCCAAAAAAAAUUAAACUGCAAAUGAACUUGAGAGAACUUGAAAAAGCAAAGCCCGCAUAGCAUAUCCAUGCGUAGCACACGAAGAUGAUGUCAAAAUGGCAACUUUAGAUUGAAACCUGUACGAAUCUACGCAGGAUUAUCAGUUUAACUCCAAAUGUCAAAAAACCGAAACCAAAUAACCAAAAUGCAAACUUCAGAUCGAAACCACUACAAAUCUACAUAGUAUCAGAUGCUCGAGUUCAAAUCUAGAGAUGGAUUAACGAGGAGAGAUGAAUUGAACCUGAGGGAGGGGAGAGGCGCCAUGGGAGUAGGGUCCUUGGAGCGGCGGCGCGGGCCGCAGGAGGAGGAGGUGGUGGGGAAUGGGUUAGGGUGAACGACGAGGCUCCGCAUCUCGAAUCCGGGGAAGGAGACGAGGUGGAGAGAGAGAGAGAGAGAGAGAGUGGGUGGUGUGUUGAUAAAGAGAGACAGAGAGAGAGAGAGAGAGAGAGAGAGAGCUACUACUGCUAAACACUAAACCCUUCGUUUUAGCGCAGCAAUGUGGGUUCACCUCCUGAACCGGAUCCGGUCCGGUCCGGUCCAGUUCAGUUGAAUGGUCCGGUUCGGGAUAAAUUACACGUCAAUGGGUAUGGAUAUCCGAAAUUUUAUCCGAACCCGAACCCGAAUGAAACGGAUAUCUCCAAUGCUAAACAUAUAUGGAUUCGGAUAUGAAUAUUAAGAAUAAAAACCCGACGAAUAUAGAUUUGGAUAUGAAUUUUGACUGUACCCGACCCGAACCCGAACCCGACUUGAACCCGAAUUUAUUUUGUAUUAAUAUAUAUAUAUAUAUAUAUAUAUAUAUAUAUAUAUAUAUUUGAUGUUAUAUUGAAAUUUGUAUUUUAAAAAUUUAGAUUUAAUAUAAUAUAUUUUGAAAUAUUGAAAAAAAAAAAUUGUUUCGAGUUCAAAUUUUCGGGUUCGGAUUCGGAUUCAGAUUUCGAAUUUUUGGUAGGAUUCGAAUUUGGAUAUGGAUUUUUAAAAUUCGUCGGAUUCGGAUCUCGGGUUUGGAAUUGGGUUUCGAUUUUUAAAAAUCCGCCCCGAAUCCGACCCAUUGAGAUCUCUAAAUUACACCAUCCACUCCCCAGAAAAUAUUCAGAAAAUUAAUUUUUUAACUGAAAAAUUAUUUUCGUGUGUUUGAUUUUAAUAAAAGAAAGUUUUGUUUUUUAAAAAAAAAAAUUAGGCCUUUUUGCAUAAAAAAUCCACUUAUUUUGGGCUUUUGCAAAAUCGGGUCACUUUUUUCGUUUUUGCAGAUUCGGUCCGUUUUUUCAGUAAACCGACUAAAAUACCCUUAUUACUUUUUCUCUUUCCUCUUUCUCUCUCCUCUUCGUUUCUUCCGUUAUUUUUUUUUUUUGUUCUUUUUUCGAGCCCGCCGCCGAGCCCGCAUCCUCUGCAUCUCAAGCCCAAACCCCAUCCUCCUGCUCCCUGCCGCCGCCGUCGAGCACCCCCACCGUGUUCGCUGCCUCCUUUCCUCUAAAGCCCGCCCGAGACUCCGACGUCCUCUCCUCCGCCUCACAAGCCGAACCCGCCGCCCGCGUCUUGCUCACCGAAGUUGCAGAGGGCGAGCAAGGCUCUCCUCGUCAAGCUCAAUGGCGAGGGAGUCCCGAUGUCUCCUCUAUCACGCGAAGCUUCGUCCCCAAGCCCUUCUCUCUCCCCCGCGCUGCCGAGCACACCCCAAUGUCUCCCGCGCCGUCGCCGAGCCACGUCCCGGCCCCUUGACCGACCGCUCGUACACCUCAAUCGCCUCGUCACUCCCCCUUGCUGAGCCUCGUCACGUCCCCACCGUCAUCUUCGUCGCCGUCACGUCGGUCUCGUCGCCGUCACCGUUGUCUCUCACCAUUAAUGGAUGUAAUAGUGCACAUUUAGUGUAAUGGUGUACAUGCCCAUUAUUUCGAUGGUGUAAUGGUGAAUGGACUGACACCAUUGCCACAAUGGUGGCAAUGGUUCACAUUAACCAUUUACACCGAUGAAAUAUGGUGCAAUGGUUACACCAUUUUACACUAAUGGUGCAUAUGUACAAUUACACAUUGAAUUAUACCAUAUAAUUGGUGCGUAAUGAGCUGACCUUUACACUAUAAAGAAGAAGAAGAAGCAGUCGCAGCGCGGCCCGUGUCGCCGCCCACAGCCGCUGCCGUGCCCGGCCCGCGGCCGACCCGGAUCGCACACGGCUGCGGCGCCCCAGGAGCAGCCGCGAUCAGGCUCCCCUGGCCGCCGCCGAUGCCUCAGCGGCUCCGUCGGCUGCGGCCGGGAACAUCCGGGCUCGAGCGUCGGCGCCGAACUCGCAGCAGCUGGACGAGUCGCGCCAGGCUUGCGCGCAUGCAUGAGGCAAGCGCGCGCGAGCGCGACGGCGUUCGGCGGCGCCAAUCCUGGUCGCUCCGCUCUAGCCGCCUGCAUGAAUCUCCGCACCUCUUCCUCCGGUGCCGACGCGCGAGACGCCGGCGGCGGCGCGAGUGGCUCGCGGCGACGGAGACUGACGUGACGGGGCAUUGGCGCCGCCGCCGCCAUGGCCGUGGUUCUCGCAUGACACGGCGACUGGAGACGAAGUGGGCGCGUGGGCUCGGCGGCCGGCGGUGGGGGAGAGGAGGAGGAGUGGUCGCGAAGCGGUAGGAGAAGGAGGGUGAGGAGGGAGGCAACGGUGAAGAAGGAGGGUGAGGAGGGAGGCGACGGUCCGAUCCGCCUCUUUUUUUUCGGCGAGAAAAAAAAAAAGAACGACAGAAACGAAGAGAAGAGAGAAAGAGGAAAGAGAAAAAGUAAUAAGGGUAUUUUGGUCAGUUUGCUGAAAAAGCGGACCGAAUCUGCAAAAAUGAAAAAGGUGGCCCGGUUUUACAAAAGUCCAAAAUAAGUGGAUUUUUUAUGCAAAUUGGCCAAAAAAUUAUGAUAAAAAUAGUGUUUUUAUUUUUCAAAUUUUCAUCUGAAAAAAAAAAUUUGUGGAAAAACAAUACUUCUCAAAAUUUAUUUUUUCACACUUUUUCGAGAAAAAAAAAUAUGUCAUAAAAUUCUAUUUAAAUUUGAUUAAAUUCUACACAUAGUUUUAUUAUAUUUUUUAAAUUAAAUUAAAAGGAGUUUGAGUAGAAUCAUUCGUCCCCAACAUGGACGGUGGAUAUUGGACAACGGAUGGAAAUGAGCGGCGCUUGGUACGCCACGUGGCACGUCAACAGCAAGCUCCCUCCUCUUCUCCUCCGAAACCACACGGAGGGUUUUGUGUAACUGCUCCCCACAAACUAAAACUCGCUAUUCCCCACCAUCCUCAACUCGAUCAAACGCUAGGGUUUUGGCUCCCAGGUUUAGGGUUCCACCCAUCCGCGUCGGCCCCGCUCCCUCCUCCGGGGAGAUGACCCACCCCGCGGCGGCGGCGGCGGCGGCGAGGGCGGCGGCGGAGGGAGGCGCCGCCGCUGUUGCCUCCGCGUGGCGUAUCAUCCCGCGGCCGCUCAUGGAGAGCGUCCUCAACAACCACGCCCUCCACCACCGCGUCCCCCAACCCCUCCUCCUCCAUGGCCCCCGCGGCGUCGGCAAAACCUCCCUCCUCCUCCACCGUGAGCUCCCUCUUUACCUAUCUCCUAAUGCACGCACAGUCUCUCUCUCUUCUCUAACGAUUGUGCUUCCUAGGGCUUCUUCCGGAGUGGAACAAGGGCCCCCACGCCGCCGCAUACGUGGACUUCGCCGCCGACCCCUCCGCCCCCCGCCCCUGGGCCGCCGCCGCCGCCGCCGACCUCGCCGCCCUCCGCGCCCGCCUCGAGCUCGAGCUCGAGUCCCUCGCCCACCGCGCCGUCCACCUCGGCGCCGUCGGCUCCCGCGACGUCUUCGCCGCGCUGAACAAGUGGCACGGCCUCCGCACCGCGCUCCGCCGCGUCGUCGGCCCCGCCCGCCUCUCCAGGCGCGAUGACGACGCCGCCCCCGCGUCCGCGCUCUGGUCCAAGGCCGUGCUCGCGUUAUCGGGCCGGAUCGGCGCUGAGGAGAUCGAAGGAAUAGUCGCCGGCGGCGGCGGCGGCGGCGGCGGCGGCGGCGGCGGCGGUGUGGGGAAGUAUACCAGGGAGGAGGUGGCGUACAUGAAGGAGGCGGCGGUAGCGCUGAGAUUGGCGAAGGAGGUGAUUGAGAUGCAGCAGGAGUGGAGGAGCGAGGCGGUGAGGCAUCUGAAUCGGACAGGAGGAUUCUCGAGGUCUCUCGCGAAUUCGGCCACCGAUUGGCCCUGUCUCCUGCUCGAGAUCCUGUCCGAGGCCGCAGAGGUCGGCUUCUUUCAGGUACCAUGAAGUAAAAAAAACCUAUUUUUGGCGUUUGUUUGGCAUUGUUGGUUCUGCAUAUUUUCUAUAUCAUGUUGGUUAUCACCAUGCAAAACAAAGUUGGAGUCGUAUAAGUUGAUGAGAAAAACUUAUUUUUGCAGCCAAAGUUAAUUUUGAACAACAUUGAUGUCCUGCGGAAGGCGUCCUCGACGGAUGACGUGAUGGUGCCCCCCACAAUGUACCAUGACAGUUUGAUAUGGAGAGUGAUCGCACUCGGUGCAAAUGUGAGGUGCUUGCCAGUUAUUCUCGUAUCUUCGGAUGGGUUGGUCUCUCACAUCCUCUCUUUUCGGCUUUGCAUACAUAUUUCCUUUUUUAUCUGGCGUCUGAUAUUGGACUUUUGCCUUUUGUAGAAAGAAUUAUUAGUCGAGUUCACUACCAUUUGUUUUUGAAUGCUUACUUUGAUACUUUCAUCGCCAUAAAAGCUUCAGUCGAAUCCAAAUUCUGAUGUUUUGUGGGAAACAGCAUGCCUUACAUUUGCCAUCCAUUUUACAGUGACACACAUUGCUGAGACCUUGUGAUGCUGAUGCAUUUAUAGUUCUCAAGUAGUAUUAUGUAUUAAGAUAUGUGUGCUUGAAAUCACAUAUUUUCUGUUGAAUCGCCAGCUUUUCUAUAUUGUUGAAUGGAACUCAUUUAUGCUCUAGAUAAGGUGUGGAAAACAACACAUUUGAAGAUUGAUCAUCGCAAACUCGUUUGAAUUACUCAUUGAUCUUGCUCUCAGUUUGAAUGCUUUUAGUUGUUAUUCUUUGGAACUAUUAGUAUUGUCCAUGAUUAUGCUCUACCAUUAUAACUAGGAUUUCAGUAUGAUUUGCAACUAACGUAGCCUGACAUUUGGAAACGUAAUGGGGAACAAAAGUUUCUCCUUUUCCCCUUUAUCUUUUGGUGCCUCUGUCCUUAUCUUUUCACAUAUUUACAUGUUUACUUUCUGCAGUGACUGAUUGUUUCACCUUUCUAAUGACUUUGUACUUUUUAAAUGGUUCUGCAUACUGUUGCUGACGUAACUGUCAUAAAUGUUGUUUAGAUUAUGCUAAUACAUUUUUUUUAGUUAUAGAUAGCGAUUAUGUUCAAUUUGCUGUCCCCAAACUAGAACCAGUUCAAAAACUAAGACUAGUGUGAGUAAUAUAUGAAGUUGGAAAUGUGUCAGUUAUGAUGAGAUUAUGAGCCUAUAGUUUGAAUCUUGUCUAUUCUGAAGGAUAUAGACUGUUAGAACCUUUUGGUUCUACCUUGGGAUUUCAAUUUUCAAUCACGCUGUGAUGAGGAUCCUUCACAUGCGAGUCGAGCUGGCAUCAUUUAUAUUUAUAUUCCAUGAUCUGAUUUCAUUUUCGUUGUUUCUUUUGAGGGAAAAAAAAAUUCCAGCUUCUUGGACUUGCCGCAAUGAAGGAUGAGCCUUUUUAUUAGUGCACUGAACAAUUAUCAAUGCGAUAUAUGUUAAACCUUUCUUAGUAUUGAUUUCUUAACUUUUGCUAUUUCAAAAUUUUGCAGUUAUUAUUCUUACCAAGCAUUUGUUGAUUUUGGGUUCCCGGAUAUAUUUAUCUCGCGAGAGGUAUGUUUAUUAUGCUUUUUUCAACUAUAUCUGUUUUCUGAAGUUCUUAUUUUAGUAGACUAUGGGUAGGUGUUAUCUGGUCUUAAUUUUAAGGUCUUCAGUAAAUGUUAUUUUUGUGCAACUCGGACUUAUUAUCAUUAUCUUUGUGCUUUAUGUGACAAUGCAAAGACCUUCGGCUGGACUCCUCAGGAAGCUAAGCUGCACAUGGUCUCUGAUUUCUUCAGUGAUCAUGAGGUAGUAAUCCUUUCUACCAUUUCUUUUAUUUUAUAUUUUAUUGUUUACCACCAUUUUGCUUGAUGCUUUACAUUCCUAUCUAUUUCUGUGUUGCAUAUUCCAUGCAAUAAUUUUGCAUUGAUCUUUAUUGAAGUUGUAGUGGAAAGUUAUAGAUGAGGUUCUUGGUCCAAACCAACGGCAACUUUCUGAGCUCUAUAAGCUUAAGCAAAGCAUGAAUUAUCAGGAGUAAGUAGAUUGCUCAAUUUUUUUCUUUUUUUUUGAGUACCGUGCUCAAAUUUUUUCUGUCUUUUUCUUGAGAGUAAUCAAUUUCUAGUAUUCUUCCUUCUCGGAACGUUUAUGACUGCUUUGUUUGUUUUGUUUUCUUAAAUUUUGGUUGGGUUUUAUCUGAAUGACUUUAAACUGAAUGCCUUAGUUUUUGUUUCGGUUAUACUUUUCAAGUCAAAUAGCUGUUGAAAUGGACUGAACAUGUUUCGAUGAUUAUCAACUUUUUUCUGCCUUUUUCUUAAGAAUCAUGACGCACACGAGGAAUCGCAACACAUUAGCUGUUAUUAGUUGAAAAGAAACAGUAUUAUAUUUGCUCCUAAAUUAUAGUUGAGGAACCUAACCGAUCCGAAACUCCGAAUAAAUUGGCUCCAUUUUUCGUCAAGAACCUAACUGUUUUGAAGUUGCUCUUUCCCUGGGAUGCUUUUAGCUUGCAAAGUUUGGUGAGUUAACUUCUUAUUUAGAUUUGUGUUUAGCUUUGCACUGUAGGAGUAAAUGUAGUAAUUACAGGGAUAAGAAUGUCGAUAAAGGAUCUCUCUAAAUAUUGAAUAACUAGGAAUAGCUAAAGGGAUAGGACAGUUGCAAUUGUUGAUGGAAUAACAGUUUCAUGUUAUCCUAAAACUCAGUCUUACUAGAGCAACUACCUUUUCACUCUUUUUGUGGCUUUUGGUUGAAUAAGGUAGUUAGUUUUGGUUAUAUUACUGUCCUGUAACCAAACAAUGCCUUGGGAUAAGGAAGUUCGAUGUAAUUUAACCUUUUUUUUCUUAAAUAAAAAACUUACAUGCGACAGAACAGCUAUCUUCACCAUAAGUAAGUUAGCGUGGAUGUAAUUCCUGCUUUUGCUUUUUCAAGUAAACCUGCCUCGUAGAGUAGUGAGGGUGAUAAACCAUAUUACCGCCCUAUCCCCAAAGCAUAAUAUGGCUCGAUAUUUUGCUGAUGUUUAUUUCCAGAUAUAGUAGAUUGAGCAUAAUUUCAUAAACUUGUAAUUCUAGUAUAGACUGAGCUGUCUCAACAAAUUAUGUUUCUGGUAAAAUUGCUUCAUCUGAAUGCUUGUUUUAUUGUAUUGUGUAGUGCAUGUCAUUCUUGGCAUCAUGUUGACUAUCUCCUUUCCAUCUUAGGGCCUUGCAGUAUGGCGGUAAUAUCUUUGAGGAUAUUGUUGAUGCCUACCUGGCAUAUUUACAGGUGAAUAGAUUCUCACAUCAAUUGAGCAUUUACAUCAUUCCAAAAUAUGAGCUAUGCCAUCUGUUGAGUCAUCUUAUUAUCAUGUCAUCUCUGCUCGGAAUGUAGCAUUUCUCUUUAUUACGGAAUAGUGAAUACUCAAAUUUGAUUCCUGUCGUGAGAGUAUUUUCUUAUUUAUACUAUCCAAUACCUGCAAAACCUAUUAUGUCAAUCUUGCUAUUUCGUGCACUGUUGUGCAAACUUUGCUAGUGUUUUUUACUAAGAAAUUGAUGGCAUCAAGGCAUUAUGUAAUUUUACAAAGCUAGCAAGACUUGAUUCCAUGGGAAAAUGGGAAAUAUCUGCUUCAAAAGAUGAUAAUGGUACCUUGGUACCUAUUUACUAAUGUUCCUGUUAAGGAAACCAUUCUCUUACACUCUUUAUUGUGUUUUCCAUGCUCCCCACAAUUUAGGUUUCAUAUUAAGAAAGGAAUCUUUGAAUAUAUAUAUUUUUCUUAUUUCUUCGUUCUUUAUUAGGUGGCUGUGGUGAACCCUGCAAUGGAAUCAGCAUUAGCUAUUAUACAGAAGUUCGCUUCGGACGUGCGCAAGGGAAUAAUUCCGGAAGGCCGAUUAUUUUUUGGUGCUCCUUGGAGACGCCCCCCGCGUUCUGAAGACCCUGAUGCUUCUUUGAAUUGGGCAAAAAUUCAACUAAUGGACUUUGUCCAAUCUUAUAUAAAUACAGAGUUCGGGGUAAUAGCUUUAUCCUUUGCAGUAGAAUAAGUAAUAGCUUAGCCUCAAUUUUGGUCUCUUGUGUUUCAGUUGAUUUGCUACAUCAUCUCAUGAUCAUAUUAAUAGAAAUUUUCUUAAAUUUUCUAUUAACCGUGUAGGUGAAUUAUCUAGCAGAUGAUAGCUUUGAAGUGCUGGAGGAUCCUGCGACAGUCGCCAUGUUGGAGGUAUGAACAGUUGCAAUCAGUUUCUCAUGUUAUGUCUCUGAGACCAGACCUGAUGCUUUUUUGCCUGUUACUCCAUUUUAAGAAAUGCAGCCGAUCUUAUAUCGUAUCUUCUUGCUAGGUUGGUUUACUCUACACCCAGCGAGAUCCGUCCUUUAUUCGCCCAAUAACUCGUGGUAUUCAGAGGUGUCUUGCGAGAUGGUCAGUGAUUGUACUUAAAAUAUCACUAACUUAGAUUAAAUGUUCUUACGUUAAAAAUUAAUUCACUAUAUCUUGCGAUGUUCUCUAGGCUUGUUCAGCAAAAGAUGCAGAUGAGCCUUCGAGAAUCUGUACAAUAUGGAUGGCAACAAGUGUUCCGUGGCCGGAGCUAUCGCCAUUUGAUGAAGGAGAUCGGCUAUAAGUAGACUAGAAAGGUAACUACCGAGUCCACAGGGCCACAAUCUACGUUCGUAUGCACCUUCAACUUACUGUCCAUUACUUUCAGGCUGUUUUUUCAAUCAAGAUAUUGUUGUUGAGGACUCUGGUCCUCUCGGGCUCGGAAGCAAAUUGUUUCUGCUUUUCUACCAUCUUUUGACAGCAUUCCGGACACAUUGUGGAACUGUAGAUGGAUCAUCUGUUAUUUACGUUCUGGUGAGUUCAUCCGUCAUACAUUCUCAUCGUAAUUUCUAGUCGACUAUGCAUCUGUUCCAUGGAGGCAAUGCUCUCUCAUGCAGCGAAAAAAGCACAAAGUUUGCCUAUCAAUAUAGUUCGGUAAAACUCGUGGAUAAACAAACACUUCUGUAGCUACAUUUUUGCUCGUGCGAAUAUGCAGCAGUUUUUCCCCCCCCAAGCUAUUCCAUUACUACAACCUGCUUUAAUGUUAUUUCCUUUCUUCCUUUUUCUUUUUUUCUUCAGAAUCUAUGUUUAAGAAUCAUCUGUGGAACUUCCUCGGGUUGCCGAAUAAGGAAUUAUACUGGUGGAUUCAAUUAAGCUGAGCAGGUCCCAGAAAAGAGAGAGGGAGAGAACAUGAAGCACUUUCGACGAGUAUAUUUAGUUGAUUUUUUUUGAACUGCUGUUUAUUUGUUGAGAAUCACUUUUGUUGUACUUGGCUAUUGUUUUUCCAGCAGUGUUCUUCAUGCAUUAACAUCAAUGCAAAAAUAUAUUGUGGAAUGAAUCUCCUCUUCGACUGGAAAAUAUUAUGUAAAUCUUUUCCUUUUUUUUUUCCUUAAAAAAGAAAACUUAUUAGUUUCGCCACCGGAGUGUCGAAUUAUUUGGAAAUUGUUUUGUUUUCUUUGUUUCGUGAUUGUAAUAAAUGCAUUGCUUCUGUUGCUCUGUUUGUUGGGGCUAAACACUCCUAAUAAUGCAUAUGUUUAGUGGCAUCAGAAUUUGAUAUAAGUUAAAAUUGGUUAUCAUUUUGUUUUUUUUUUUUUUUUGGUUUUCUCAAAUCCUGGGAAAUCAAUUUACCCACAACUAAAUAAGACUUUUAGUGUGUAUUAUUAUUAUUUUUUUAAGGAAAAGGGAAAAGUUCAACUACUUUUUUACUUCGCCAUCUUGUAACUUUCAAAGUUUUAAGUUACUCUUUAAUUCAUGGAAAAAAGUAAAAAUCUGCAGUUAGCUAAAUAGAAUAUUAAAAUUAUAUAAUUUGAAAACUAAGUACAAUGAAAGUGUUACGCUUUAUGAACCAUACAGCAGCGAAAAUAUAGGCUAUGGCUACUAUACUAUUAUGAGUAUUAGAGUCUUUAUACUCAUAAGUUGUUUUCAAUGAUGGAGCUUUCGAAUCGACGAUCCACUCCGUUAAAUAUGAUCUAGAGUAUUUGAAACUUCUAGAAAAUAAAUUUCGUAAAUUUUUGAAAUCAUAAAAAAGUCCAUCAAGUGGGCAUGAAAUGAACGGUUAAAAUCGACGACGUCCUAAAAAAGAAUGAUCGGAUCCUUCAAUUCAAGAUCGGAGUUAUUGAUCUUUAUCUAUGUAGUGAAUAGAAUUUUCUACCAAAAAUUCAACAAAUUCCGAUCCUUUUACACCGUUAAACUAGCAAGUAUUCCAUACCGGCCGUUAAAAAUUGUCAAAUUUGUGACCUCUUGAUCGUAAGGUAAAUGAUGUCGAAAAAUUAUAAAAUUUGAUUUCUAGAAGUUUUAAAUGCUGUAAAAAACGUUUAACGGUGUGGAUUGUUGAUUCGGAAGCUCUAUCAUCGAAAACAACUUAUGAGUACGAGGGCGAUCGUACUCAUAAUAGUAUAAUAGCCGGACCCGAAAAUAUAUAUCACUAGCCUAUAAUUUGUACUUUUUGUUGAUCUCAUAUACUUUUAACAGUAUAUCUCAUUAAGUCUUCUUCACUGAUUUUGCACAAAUCGUGAGACAGAUCCGAUGAUGACUAAAAGAUCACAAAUAUGUUGAACUCCUGUGCUAUUAAAAGCAUGGGAGCUCAACUCUUGUACUUUACCAUCUUGUGAUUAAUUAUAUUAUUUUUUCCACCCUUUUCUAUGAACACUUUUCUCAAAGGGUAACCAAAAUAAAAAAAGUAAACUUCAAAUACCGUUCCUAUGAUUUCACACUUUCCCAUUUUAGUAUUCCGUAGUUUAAAGUGUAUCAAUUUAAUGUCCUGUAGUUUUAUUUUUCUCUUUUCAUCAGCUACUUCUUUAAUAUUUUAUUAAAUUAUAUACAAAAAACUUCAGAUACCCACCUAAAUUUAUUGAAUAUUCACUUUAGUACCCUUUAGUUUUAACUUUAUCACUGAUUCGAGAAAAAAAAAUAGUAAAAUUAAUAAUAAAAAAAAAAAAAUAAAACCACAUUGCACUAAAUUGAUACAUUUUAAACCACAUGAUACUAAAGUGAGAAAGUACGAAACCACAUGGGUGGUAUUUGAAAUUUUCCCAAAAUAAAACCACAA